UUUUUUUUUUUUUAUGUGGUUGCUCUUGAUUUUUCAUGGUCAAUAAUGAGAUUAAACAAGAUUUUGUUACAACGAUUGCGGGAAGAUAUAAAAUAAAUGAGAAAAAAUUAUUUUUUAGUCCCUGAGGUAUAGCGUAAUUAAUAGAUUUGUUUCUCUAUUUUUAGAACUCAACACUUUCGUUCUUGAGGUUUAAUUCCGUCAAAAUUCAAGGUCCCUCCAUCAAACUUCAAGGUCUCUCCGUCAAAAAAUUCUGUUAAGUCAAUGAUUUUCACUUGGUUAAUGGAAAGAGAAUAAAUAUAAUCCCAAAAAUACCCUUAUCAAUAAUAAAAUAAGAAAUUACUAUUUAAUUCCUAUAGUAUGAAAAAACUCGCUAUUUAAUCCUUCAAUUUUGAAAAAUAUAUUAAAAUAUCUCUGACAUUUUAAAAAGUCUACUAGUUAGUUCCUAUAUUAAUUUUAUCACUAAAUAUUUUACGAUUUAAUCCCUAUAGUUUAGAAAAAAUUAUUAAUUGGUCCCUCAAAUUAUUAAAAAAUUUACUAAUUAGUCCCUCCAUAUCACGGAUAUUUUAGAUUUUUUUUACAAUACUUAACGACUAAAAUUAAUGGAUAGACUAACUAGUAGACUUUUUAAAAUGUUAGAAAUAUUUUAAUGAAUUUUUCAAAUGGCGAGCAGUGAUCGAUAGCGAAUGACAUCACAAAAGCAAUUUAUAUUGAGUUUUAACUUUUUAUUCUUAAUAAUUUAAAUUUUAUAUAUUUUAAUUUUUAUUAUUUUUACUGAAUUUGAAUUUUAAAUUUAUUGAAAUUUUUAUUUGUUUAUGGAGAUUGAGUUUGAGAUUUUCUUUCUUGAAUUUUGACGAAAUUAAAUUUUAGGGACUAAAGUGUUGAAUUCAAAAAAUAGAGGGACAAAUAUAUUAAUUAUAUAAUAUCUUAGAGACGAAAACAUAUUUUUUUCUUCAAUUCUUUGAGAGAGGGACCUAUAAAUUUGUAGGAAUUAAAUUUCAGGGAUUAAAGUAUUGGAUUCUAGAAAGGGUAGUUCGGUUAUUUUUUCUGUCACUAACGGCAUUUUUUAUGGAGGGACCUCUAAUUUUGACGGAAUUAAAUCUCAGGGACGAAAGUGUUGGGUUCUAAAAAUAGAGGAACGAAUCCAUUAAUUACGCUAUAUCUCAGGGACUAAAAAGUAAUUUUCCCAAUAAAUGAAGAUUAUGGGUUUUGAUGCUUUCAAAUUCUAUAUUUUCUGGUCCAGAGUAAUAUCUAAUUAAUAUGUUUAUUAAAAAGUUAAACUUUUCAAAAUAUGUCGGUUCAUACAAAUAUCAUUAUAUAAAUAUUUAUAAUUCGCUGUUGGAAAUUCUUUUUUACAAUAUUUAAAAAAUAAAAUAGAAUUCCCCUUAUAUCAUAUCAUUUAUAUAUAAUCAUAAUAAUAUUUAGAUCAUAUAUAUAUAUAUAAUUUUAUAAUCUAAAAAUUAUAUGAAAUCGCAAAAUAUCACUUUACAUUGAUGAAAAUUAUUAUUAUUAUUAUUUUUAAUUUAAAAUUUAAAUGGGUUUUUUCAAUGAAGUACAAAAUUUUAUUUUUUUAGACUUUUUAACUAUUGGGCUCAAUUAUUGAUGGAUUAUUUCAUUCAUUUGCUAUAUAUAUAUUUUAAUUUUGAACAUUGAUCAGGUGGAAGGAGACCCGACAGAGUGAACAAGCAUGAAAUUCAAUUUUACAAUGAUGUUGCGAGAAUUAUCUCCUUUAUCAUUAGAGUAUUCAAAUUAGUAAAUUGAUAAUAAGUACCUAAACUCACUAUAUUUUUUUUAUAUUAAUUUUUUUAAUUUUGUUAUGUUAUUUUUAAUAAAAAAUAUUUUUUAUUAAAAUUUUUAUUUUAAACAAAUUUAAAGUUGAAAGUGUUAAAAAAAUUAGUAGAUGAUAUUUUAGAUAUAUUUUGAACCAACGCCUUAUUUAAGGCCGUAACUCAAACUCAAUGAAUAAAUAGCUGAGUUUCAUGACUUCAAAAAAAAUAUAGCUGAGUUUCAGUUCAGUUAUAUAGAAUUUAAAUUAUUUCAGAUAAUUAUAAAUACAAUCAAAUUAAAUAUUAAAAUAAAAAUAAUAAAAUUAUUUAUUAAUUUAUUUUUUUUAAAUUUAAUAUCUUCUUUACCUUUUAUCAGAAAAAGACCUAUAUAAAUUAUUAUUUUAGAAGUAAUAAGAUAUCUCUUAAUUCAUCUCUUCCUUCUGCAUAUGUCUCCUCAUUUUCCUUUUUCUUUAUCUUUCGAUUUCUUCAUCCUUUUAAGUUGAAUUGAAUUGAAUUUAUAUUUAUUUUAUUUUUUAUUUUUUAUUUUUUAUAAUGACUUUUAAUAGUUAAUUUAUUUUUUAAUUGAAUAUUAAUCUAAUUAAGAUUUUAAUUAAGUUAUGAGAUCUAAUUUCAUUUUCUUCAUCUUAAAUUAUAUUUUUAUUUUUUUAAAAAAACAAUACUUCUAUAGUCUAUUGAAUAUCCUAAUUAAAUAAUACAUUAUUAAGUAACUCAAAUAAAUAUAUAAUUAUUUAAUUAAAUAUUAAUCUAGUUAAAAUUUUAAUUAAGUUGUGAGAUCUAAUUUCAUUUUCUGUUCAUCUUAAAUUUUAUUUUUAUUUUUUUUAGAUACAAUACUUCUAUAGUCUAUUGGAUAUCCUAAUUAAAUAAUAUAUUAUUAAUUAACUCAAAUAAAUAUAUAAUUAUUUAAUUGAAUUAAUAUAAAUAACAAUUAGGAUAUCUUUUUAUUUUGAGAAAUUGAGUGAUUUUUUAAUGUGAUUAAUUAAUUAAAUUUAUAUGCUUAUUAGAGUUAUUAAUUAAUUAAAAAUUAAUUUAACACUUUACAAAUUAAUUUAAUCUUAUGAAAGAAUUAAUAGAAUUUACUUAUUUAAAUACUUUUAAUUAAUCGUUUGUUUUAUCAUUUUAUUGCACUUAUUUUACUCCUCCUUAAAUUUUUCUAAAAUUAAAUUUUUAAUUGAAAUUUCUUUGGUCUCUUUUAUUUUAAUAAUUUUUUUCUUUUCUUUAUCGUUUAAUAUUUAAAUUAAAUAAAUAUAAAGUAGAUCAAUACACCUUAUUUAUAAAAAUUAUUAAAUUGAAAAGAAAAAUCAAUUAUAUAAUUAGCGAAUUCUAUCCCAUUCCAUGAAUAGAAAAUUUAGACCUUUAAAUAUUUAGAAAACAUUCAAAAUGGAAAAAAUCUUAUAUUUACCCUUAAACUUUCAGUGAAGGCUCAAUUUUAACCAAAAUAAAAAUUCAUUCCCAAUUGAACCAAAGAUUUUCAAUUCAACUCAAAUAUACCCAACUUCUUAUAAAUCUAUGUGCGUGUGAGUUUCACUCCGCUGUAAAUAUUAAAAAAUUACAAUUGUUUAAUGUUAAUAAUGUAUCUUCCCAUAUUUAUCAAAUUACUAUCAAACACAAGCUUCUCUAUCAACAGUGGUUGAGCCAGGAGCUUCCCUUUGGUAGUACACCGGCUGCGCCGCUGCGGUACCUUCAUCCCCUUCAAAACAUUUUCCGAUCGCCGGUACGGCACGUACCCCUUGCCGUACCUUUCCUCCGCCACUGUCUAUCAACCCUUCUUUGAUCAUAUUUUCCGCUGCCUCUUUGUAACUAAAAUACUCAAUUUCAGUAAUGCAAUCCAUUAUUAGAACCCAAGUUGCAGGUCUUAAUAAUUCAAGAAAAUAGGGAUUUUGGGUAUUUCUCAAUUAAAAUCGAUUUCAUCUGCCAUGAGUGACUUAAUUAGUAUGAUAAAUGUACAAAGUACUUUCUUUGGUUUCCAGGAAGCAAUUGACAUGAGCAUGAAUCAGAGGAACCAUUAGAACUUGACCCGUGAAAACAUCUUUGUUGAAUUAAAUUAAAGAUGUCAUAACAAAAGCACAAUGUUCUUGAAAUUUCUUAAAGCAAUUCGGACAAUAGAUGAUUUUUUUUAAUAAAAGAAUUUUGGAUUUAAGAACCAAAAUGUAGGAAAGACGUUUCUCAAGGUGAGUUAAAAAACUUCGUAACUCAUUCUGGUUGUUGCAAUAACUUAAUCUUUUUAUUUUUAAAUAAAAAAAAUAUUUAUAUAAAUCUCUUUAAUUAUUAAAUAAUAAAACAAUUAAAAACAUUAUCAAUUUCAUACAACUUUUUUUUUCCAAUUCUACUUUAGAAUCUCUUUAUUUUAAAAAAUAGAUUUAAUUCGGUAUUUCCAAAACCUUUAUUCUAAGUUAGCUCAGGUCCCUAUCUUGUUCAUCAAUUAAUUCUUCUCUUACUGGUUAUUGUUUCAUCCUUUUGCAGCUGCAUCGAUUCUAAAAAUAUAAAUUAUAUUUUUAUUGGACUAAAUAAUUAUUUUUAUUCUACAAGUUCAUAAUUAAAUUAUACCAACAUCUAAUUUAAACUAAAUGUUCAUUAUUUUUAUCAUAUAAAAUUUAACUUUGAUUUAAAUUUAUAAUAUAGUUUUAUUUUUUCAUCCAUCUUAUUGUUAAUAAAAUAAAAAAAUAAAAAAAAUUAACUAUUUAAUUCAUAUGAUAUAAUAAAAUUCAAUAAUUAAAUUUUUUAUUUAAAAAAAUAUUAAAACAUCAAGUCUACUAAUUAAUUUAUUUAUUAAUUUUAAUCAUUAAAUAUUAUAAAAAUAUUUAAAUUUAUAAUAUAAAGAAAUUAAAUUAAUAAAAUUUUUAAAAUUAUAAAAAUUAAAUUUAAUUAAUUAAUAUUUUAAAAUAUCAAAAAUAUUUUAAUAUAAUUUUUAAAAUAAAAUAAUUAAUCAAUUUUAUUAAAUUAUAGAAAUUAAACAGUAAUUUUUUAAUAAAUAAAUACGUAAAAGGGGAGACAAAUUUUGAUGCUGUUGCGACUUGAGGUUGAAGGAUUCUUUCCUCAAUUGGAAUUCACACAGAAGUCACGUGAUGAAAGUGAAAAGAUAUAAUUUUGAUGUGAUAGUUUGGGAUUUUUAGGUGGUCCAAAUGAAUGUUUCCACCCCAAUUAAAAUUAAAAUAAUAUAAUCAUCAUUUAAAGAAAUUUAAAAGAGAUGCAUUCCGCCAGUCAAAAGAGUAAAAAAAAUAUUAUAAUAAUAAUAACUUAACUAUUAAGGUAUGGAGAUUAAAUUUUAAAAUAAUAAAAUUAUGUUUAAUGAAAAUUAAAUCAAUCUAUAUUUAUUGGAGAGAGGGAUAUAACAUAUAAAUUUAAUUUCCACAAACUAUAAAUUUUUUUCUUCAUCGAUUUAUUUUAUAAAAAAAUUUAUUAGAAAAAAAAAGAAUGAUAUAAAUUUUAAAUGGCAUACUACGUGUAAAAAAGAUUCAACUCCAAUUAAGGCUACAAUUAUACCAAAUGAAAAGCUUAGGAUAACAUAUUUUAAAUUAAAAUGUAAAAAUAAAUAAAUUUUAGAAUUUAAAAAAUGUGAUAUGAAAUACAUAUUUUCCUCUGUGGUUCUUAUAUGUCUCGAUACUCUCAUUUUUUUCUUUUUUUUAAACAUAACUCCUUUUUCUUUCUUAUAAAAAAUGAUCUACGUCAAUUGACUAUUAAUUAAAAAAAAGAUGUUGUUGUCUUUAUUAAGAGUUAUAGAGAUAUUCUGAUCGUCGCUUAUAAUUUCUGUAUGAUGGAGAUGUUUCUCACAUACAAUUCAAUCAAUUUUCAGGAUAUGCAGACAUUUUUUGUAGAUUUAUGGCAUCUUUUAGAGGGGUAUCUAUUAUGAAAUUAGAAGCAAAAAGAUAUUUGUUUUGAUUUUUUAACAAUGUUAAUUUUUCUUCAGAUAUUUCUAAUCACACCACUGCGAAUGUUAAUUUGACAAGUAAAAAUGAAGCGGCUCAUCCCGUCAAAGGUCGGGAUAGCCGAAAGCAAUUAUCGUCUUGUGUUGUAACUGCCGAGGACUCGGCAAUUCUCGGACAGGUAAUACAUUGAAGGAUUUGGUUACUAGUUAUAAGCCGGACAUUUUAUUUUUGAUGGAAACCAAAGUUUUAGUUUUCCGUUGCUAUUUGCUCUUUGCGACGAAAUUUUUACUUUUUAAUGGCUGCAUUCUUAUGGACUAUUUGCAAGUGGUUCAAUCUAUUUAAUCUCCACAUUUAGAUAUUUUUGAACUAGAUUUGAUUUUGAAUGAUUGUAAAUUUUUGUUAGACCCUAGAACUCAUAUUUUUAUUAGAUGUAUUCGUCGUCAUGCCACUCUAACUGCUUAUAUUUUGAUUAGAGAAUCUAUUAGAUAUGAUCGUUUGUGAUGAUAUCUCUUUUUAUUUAAUAAAAUUUUAUUAAUAUAAUAAAUAAUUUUACUUUAAAAAAAAUUGAUAUGAAACAGUACACUCGUUAGGGAAAUAACGUUAAAUUUUUUGGAAUUUGAAAAAUCAUUUUGAAAAGAAAAAUAAAAGAUAAAAAAAGCUAUCUCCUAACAAUUAGGGAAAGCAACUUACAAUCGUUAUAAUAUAUUUUGGGAAUAAAAAGGUUUAAAAUUAAAAGAUUAUAUGUAAAAAAAGACCCUUCAUCCUUGCUCUUUGGAUUCCCCUUCUUAUAUUUUAGCUUUAGUAAUUUUCCUUGAUUUCAAAAGUUUAUGACAAGUUGAAAAAAAAGUUUAUUACAAGUUUGUUAUUUAAAUUGAUGAAAAAAUAAUUCUAUCAUAUAUUUAACUAAAACCAUUGAAAAUUAAUUACUUAUAGUAAUAUGCAUAAAUUUUAUAAUCUAAAAGUUUUUAACGGUGAUUACAUAAUAAUUUACAGUAUUAUUAUUUAUUAUAUUAAUAUUUUGAGAUUCAGAAAAUAAGAUUUACAAUGAUUGUCUAAAUUCAAUCGGAAAAGAAAUUCUUCUUCCCCUUUUAUCCCUUUUAUUUUUGUGUGAUAUUUAACCAUGUCUCUGUCACUCAGUUCCAUAUCUAUGGGUGUGUCAGAAUACUUCUUCAUGGCUAUUUAAUUUUCUCUGACGUGCAUGCGGAUAGAACUGCGAGGUGACUGGCUUGCUCCCUUACCUCUUGUCACAUUACCCGACUAGACUUUCUACAUAUAGACCUGCGCGGGUAACUUGUUCGGCUUAUCUUUUAUUACCGCGUUAGGGCGUGCUACAUAGGGCUAGUUUAUUUUGAAAAAGACUCGGUGGACUUGAGCCCGUAUUCUUUUUUAAAGUAUGAUUUUAUCCCAAACAUUAAAAAUCCAGGCAUCAUCAUAUAUUAUAUUUUUUUUAUUGGUGAAAAUUACUCCUUAUCCUUAGCUCUUGGAUUCCCCUCCUUUAAGAUGGCUUACAUGAAACACUUGAGGGUUCAAAGUAUUUUAGUAAUUUUUUAAUCACAAUUUGAUUUUUUUUAAUGAUAAAGAGAUGGAAUUAAUAUAUUAAAUUUGAGAGCUUUUAAAGAUCUAUUAAAUUUAUUCAGAUCUAUUAAAUUUAUUCAGAAUUAGGCUGAUUAAUUUACCAUUCCCAAAUUAAAUUUGUGAGUUUAAAUUAUUAUUAUUUAAUUUUUAAAAAUAAAAUCAAUAUUUUAAUUAAUUGUAUGUGCACUAUAUACUAUAAUAAAAUUUUUAGAUUCAAAAUUGGGGAUAAAUAUAUCAUUUUGAUUUUUUUAUUAAUUUCAUUAAUUACAAAUGCAGAUAAAAUAUGAAAUUUUAUUUUUCAUUAAAUUCAUUAGUGGGACAUUUUGCAAUUUUGUAGUACAAUUAUUAGAAAGUUGGAAAUUUCUAAAGAGAUUAAUCUUGUCCCAGAUAAAGAAGACAAAAAAGAAAUGUACUCUUGUAGAAGAUCUUGUGGUUGUAGGUCCCAUGUCAUUUUUUAGUGGGCCAUCCUUGUUCUCAAUGCAAAUUUUUUCUUCCUUUCGGAAUUGUGAUCAGGAAGUUUUAUAAAUUUUUUUAAAAAAAAUGUAAAAACUGAAGUGUGAAAAUUAUUUAAUUAUUUUAAAAUUUUAAAUAUUUUUGAAUUUAAGUGUUUAAAAGUAGUAUUUUUUUAAAAAUUUAGGUGAUUAUUAUGUCUCAAAUAGAAUUAAGAUAUUUUAUAGAUAAAAAUAAUAAAAUACAUAUGUAAGUACCCAUUUGGUUUAUUCUUAAUUAAUAUGAUUAAAAUAUUUAUUAUUUUAUUAUUAAAAAUAUAUUAAAUAAAUAAAAUAAUUUUUAAUUUAAUAAAUUAUUUUUUAUUUAUAUAUCAUAAUAUAAUUAGUAGGAAAUAUUAUCUCAAUAUGUCACGUGUACUCUGGCAUAGUGUAUUGUAUAAUUUUUCUAAUAAAGGAUAAGCUAAAAAAUAAUUUGUAAAAAUUACCAUUUCGAAUAUUGAAGAAUAAUCUAUUUCAGGUAAAUUGGAAUAUGACUCCAUGUAUACGUAAGAACGUAGCACGUCAUGAAGGAUUAAUUUUUCUCUUUGUCAAAAGAAAAAAGUGGGCCAACCUCUGUGGAAUCUUGCUUUGGCUUUAAUGCAUGCAAUUAAUUACGUUAGCACGAACUCUAUAUAAAGGGCAUUGCCAUGAGAAGUGGAAACCACACAACCACUUGAAAAUCUUAACACCAUCAACAUGGCUUUGGCUUUCAAACACUCUCUUCUUCUGGGGAUGCUCGUCUUCCUCAUAGCCCUGUUGACUCUUACUGAGCCAGCAAUGGCUGAUGAUGUUGAUGCUGUCCCUGAUGACUUUAACCGUACUUAUUUUCCAGAUGAUUUCAUUUUUGGAACAGCCACAUCUUCUUAUCAGGUAUAUUCAGACCUUCAUUUUUAUCUAUGCUCUCCCAUUAUCUAUUUGUUCCCUAGUUUGCAUUAUUUGCUUUGCUUCUUUUUUCUGUUUAUCAAGUUUGCUUAAAAUAAAUAAUAUAAUAAGAUCCAAUUUUACAUUAGAUCGAAGGUUCAACAAACAUAUCUGGUAGAGCACCUAGUGUCUGGGACAUAUUUACUCAUGAAUAUCCAGGUAUGAUCAUGUGCAUAUCGACAUAUUAUAUACAUAUACAAAAUAUUAAUUAUUUUUAUAUAAUUUUGCAGAGAGGAUAAAGGACAACAGUACCGGAGAUAUUGCAGUUGAUUUUUACAAUCGAUAUAAAGUAUAUAAUAGCUAAACUUUUAUCUAUUUUCUACAAAAAUCUUGUUCAUCGUUAAUAAUGAAAUUAAAAAAAAUUGUAAAAUUGAUAUUGCAGGAGGAUAUCAAAAACGUGAAAGAUAUGCAUUUUAAUGCUUUCAGAUUUUCAAUUUCAUGGUCUAGAGUUAUACCUAGUAAGUAUUUUAUCAAGUCUAAAUUUACUUAAUAUAUAUUCGCUUCAUAUAAAUUUUAUUAUCUCGUACAUUUAUAAUUUUAUACAUUCUCACACUUGUUUAUAAUAUUAAUUUUAAAUAUUCAGGUGGAAGAAGAGAUGAAGGAGUGAACGAGGAGGGGAUAAAAUUCUAUGAUAAUGUUAUCAAUGAAGUUGUAAAUAAUGGUGAAGAUCAUCUUCUUUUCGUCCCUUCAUGAAGUCAUAUAUUAUUACAACAAAUUUCUAAAUUUUCUUUUUGUUGCAAAAAAAUUCAGGGCUUAUACCAUUUGUUACCAUUUUUCAUUGGGAUACUCCUCAAGCUCUAGAGGAUAAAUAUGGUGGCUUUUUAAGUCGUAAUAUCGUGUAAGUAUACACCCUCAACUAAUAUUUUCAAAUCAUCAAAUGAGAAACUUUUGUAUCAAUUUUUUCAAUAUAAUAUUCUUAUAUAAAUUACAAAAUAACUUACUAAAAAAAUUACAUAAUGCAUAGGGAUGAUUACCGUGAUUAUGCGGAGCUUCUCUUUGAAAGAUUUGGUAGUCGAGUGAAAUUUUGGAUGACUUUCAAUGAACCAUGGGCUCUCAGUGGAUUUGCUUAUGAUGAUGGACUUUUUGCUCCUGGUCGAUGUUCAUCUUGGGUGAAUCGUCAAUGCCGUGCUGGAAAUUCAGCUACUGAACCUUAUAUAGUUGCACAUCAUCUACUCCUUGCACAUUCUGCAGCGGUUAAUUUAUAUAGAGAAAAGUAUCAGGUUUGUAAUUUUUAUAUAUACAUACACACAUAUGUAGUUCCUUUGUCAAGCAUAAAUAUAUCUGGAUUAAUUUGACAUUCUUAUUAUAUUGAUUAUAUAGAAAUCUCAAACUGGCGAGAUAAAUGGCAAAAUUGGAAUAACGCUCUUUACCUUUUGGUUCGAACCAUUAUCGAAUAGAUCAAUUGAUAUAGAAGCAUCCAGGACAGCACUCGAUUUUAUGUUUGGAUUGUAAGUAUUUCAUUCAAACUAAUUUAGUAAUUAAUUAAGCUUAUGUACCAAAGCAUGUGAAUAAUACACAUAAUUUCUCCAUAUUUUUCAGGUGGAUGGAUCCUUUAACUUAUGGUCGUUAUCCAAGACGUGUGCAGGAGUUAGUUGGAGAUAGAUUGCUUAAUUUUACUGAUAAAGAAACUGAGAUGCUUAGAAAAUCAUAUGAUUUUCUUGGAUUACAAUAUUAUACUUCAUAUUAUGCAAAACCAAAUGCUCCAAUUGAUCCAAAUUAUAUUAGAUACAAAACUGAUAGUCGAACCACCGUAACCGGUAAGUUUAUUUAGAAAUGUGAUAAAUUAAUGGUAGAAAGGAUAUAUAUAUAUAUAUUAAUGGGUUGAUAAGAGUCCUUUUUGAAGUGUGUUUUCAUUAAUAACUUUUUUUUUUCUUUUCCUUGCAGCUUAUGACUAUGAAGGUAAACCAAUCGGUCCACCGGUAAGUGUGUAUUAAAAUGAAAUUAAGUAUAAAAAAAGAAGAAAAUUGCACAGAUGAUAUCACUGACAUAAAAUUAAAAAUUUACAGGCUUACUCACCAUGGUUUUACAUUUUUCCAAAAGGCAUUCGACAUCUUUUGAAUUAUACCAAAGAUACAUAUCAGGAUCCAAUCAUUUAUAUUACUGAGAAUGGUAAGUAGUUUAUCCUUUCUCUCGUAACAUUACUGGCGAGCUAUACACAUUUAUAUUUUGCUUCUAUUUAUUUAAUUAAGUUUUCCACAUAUUAAUUCAGGGGUUGAUAGAUACAAUAACGAAAGUCGAACUCCGGAGGAAGUGAGAAAUGAUACAUUUAGGAUAAACUAUUAUAAAGAGCACAUGUGGCAUGCACUGGGAUCCCUCAAGUGAGUCUAAACUUCAAUAUUCUAAUAUAAAGUUUUUUUUAUAGUUCUUAAUCGAGUUUCCUAAUAAAAGUUGGUUUUGAUAGGAAUUACAAUGUUAGUCUGAAAGGUUACUUCGCAUGGUCAUAUUUGGAUAAUUUCGAAUGGAAUAUUGGAUAUACUUCAAGAUUUGGUUUGUACUAUGUUGACUAUCAAAAUAACUUGACAAGAUCACCCAAAAAUUCAGCUAACUGGUUCAAGCAUGAGUUCCUGAUAAAACCCAAGAGUUCUUCAAAGGAUUCAAGGAAAGUUGGCAGAUACUACAUAAUGUAGUUUGUACUGAGGUGCGCCAAAAUGAGCUGUGGCUUGUGUGUGUGUCUUGCAAUGAAAUAAUAUGAUUGGGCUACUUCUUAGCUCCAAUGACAUAGCUUGUGUGGUAAUAGUUUUGUGUGUCUUUGUCUAGCAAUUAAAUAAUAUCAUUGAGCUUACUGUUAAGCUCCAAUGUUGACAUGGGUUGUUUUGUAAUAGAUUUUUGAAAUGAACGAAGAGUGUUUAUCUCUUCCAGGAAUUCUAAACUUUGAGAAUUUUUAUUAAUAUUAUUGGUUUUUGUAUGCAUAUAUCUUAUUAAUAUAUUUUUUUUGUACCCUGCUUAUACUAUCUAACUGCAAUAAUUAAAGUUAGGGGAUUUUUCUUAAAAAAAAAAAGAAGUAGGGUAUUUAACUUUUUUUUUUUUAAUUUGCCCAUUUUAACUGUUNNNNNNNNNNNNNNNNNNNNNNNNNNNNNNNNNNNNNNNNNNNNNNNNNNNNNNNNNNNNNNNNNNNNNNNNNNNNNNNNNNNNNNNNNNNNNNNNNNNNNNNNNNNNNNNNNNNNNNNNNNNNNNNNNNNNNNNNNNNNNNNNNNNNNNNNNNNNNNNNNNNNNNNNNNNNNNNNNNNNNNNNNNNNNNNNNNNNNNNNNNNNNNNNNNNNNNNNNNNNNNNNNNNNNNNNNNAAAAAAAAAAAAAAAAAGUAAAUGUUUAAAAGGAAAAGUACAGAAUGUGUACCCUACUAAUUUUCUCCCAUUUCUAGUUUCAUGAGCCGGUCUGCACCAACUUUUUUUUUUCCAGGAAAAAAAAAACAUUUGUAUUACGUUAUUGCAAUGUGCAGCAAAAUUUAAUUACAGUAAAGAAAGUAAAUCUGAUAUUUAAUACUGCUGUCAAUCCGGCAAUAAUAAAUUUUAUAGCCAAAAUUUAAUUAUUAUAUUUACCGUAGUAUUUAUAUGACGAGAAAUUUAUUAAAAAAAAUAUUUUAAAGAUUAGAGUAAAUAUCAAGAAUAAGUAGAAUUAAAACUUUAAUAUUCUACAUGAUCGAGACGAAGAACCAUAAAGAGUAUUAUAGACGAUAAUAAAAAUAUAUAGUGUUUAGAAUAUAUUUAUUCAUGAAUAUCUAAAUAUAAUAUGCAUAUCGAUAUAUUAUAUACUUGCACAAAAUAUUAAUUAUUUUUAUGUAAUUUUAUUUGAGAUAUUGCGGUUGAUUUUUAGAAUCGAAUUAUUAAGCUUUUUUUAAUUUUUAAAACUAAAUCUUUAUUGUCUGUUAGAAAAAAAAUUAAAUGAAAUUGUGAAAUUGAUAUUAUAUAUAAGAAGAUAUGAGAAACGUGAAGAAUAUAGGUGUUGAAGCUUUCAGAUUUUUAAUUUCAUAGUUUAGAGUUAUAUCUAGUAAGUAUUUUAUCAACAUAUAUUGGCUUCAUAUAUAGGAUUUUACUAACUCAUAUAUUUAUAAUUUUAUAUAUUCUCACACUUCACUAUUUCAUAAGCAUAAAUUUAAACAACUACAUUUAAUUAAUUACUAGCUUACUUACAUCAUCUUUUAAAUUCUUAAUUUUCAUCAAGUCUUCGUCUCUUCAUGAAGUCAUAUUAUUACAUCAAAUUUCUAAUUUUUCUUUUUGUUGCAAAAUUAAUUCAGAGCUUACACCAUUUGUUAUAAUUUUUUAUUGGAAUACUCCUCAAUCUCUAAAAGACAAAUAUGGUGACUUUUUAAGUCGUAAUAUCAUGCAAGUAUAUAGUCUCAACUAAUAUUUUCAAACUAUCAAAAGAGAAACUUAUGUAUUUUUCAAUAUAUUAUUCUCAUCUAUCUAAUAAAAUAACUUAUUAAAAACUUGCAUAAUCUACAGGGAUGAUUACCGUGAUUAUGCGGAUCUUCUCUUUGAAAAUUUUAGUAUUUGAGUAAAGUUUUGGAUGACAUUUAAUGAACCAUGAGCUCUUAGUGGAUUUGCUUAUAAUGAUAGAUUUUUUACUCUCGGUCGAUGUUCAUCUUGGGUAAAUCGUCAAUAUCGUGCUGGAAAUUCAACUACCGAUCCUUAUAUAGUUGUAUAUCAUAUACUCCUUGCACAUUCCGCAGCCAUUAAUUUAUAUAGAGAAAAGUAGACGUUUGUAUUUUUUUGGAUAUACAUACACACAAAUGUAGUUUCUUUGUCAAGUAUAAAUAUAUCUAGAUUAAUUUGACAUUCUUAUUAUAUUGGUUAAUUUGAUAGCUCAAAUUGGUUGGAUGAAUGGUAAGAUUGGGAUAACAAUCUUACCUUAUGGUUCGAACCAUUAUCUAAUAGAUCAAUUGAUAUAGAAGCAUCUAGGACAACACUUGAUUUUAUGUUUGGAUCGUAAGUCUUUCAUUCAAACUAAUCUAGUAAUUUAUUAAGCUUAUAUACUAAAGCAUGUGAAUAAUACAUGUAAUUUCUCCAUAUUUUUCAAGUGGAUGGAUCCUUUAACUUAUGAUCGUUAUGCAAGACGUGUGCAGGAGUUAGAUGGCCAUAGAUAGCUUAAUUUUACUGAUAAAGAAACUCAAAUGCUUAGAAAAUCAUAUGAUUUUCUUCGAUUAUAAUUUUACACUUAAUCGUAUGCAAAACCAAAUGCUUCAAUUGAUCCAGAUCAUGUUAGAUACAAAACUGAUAGUGGUACUACUAUAAUCGGUAAGCUCAUUCAGAAAUGUGAUACAUUAAAAGUAGAAAAAAUAUAUAUGUGGGUUGAUAUAAGAAUCCUUUUUAAAAAAGUUUUCAUUUAUAACAUGGUUUUUUUUCCUUACCGCUUAUGACUAUAAUGGUAACCCGAUUAGUCCACAAGUAAGUGUGUAUUAAAAUGAAAUUUAGUAUAAUAAAAAGAACUGCACAUUUAUGAAUGAUAUCAUUGACAUAAAAAUAAAAAUUUAUAGGCGUACUCACCUUGGUUUUACAUUUUUCCAAAAUGCAUUUGACAUUUUUUGAACUAUACCAAAAAUACAUAUGAGAAUCUAAUAAUUUACAUUACUGAGAAUGGUAAAUAGUUUAUUCCUUUUGUUAUUGCAUUACUAGCGAGCUAUUCCCAUUAAUAUCGUGCUCCUACUUAUUUAAGUUUUCCAUGUUAAUUUAGGGGUCGAUAGAUACAAUAAUAAAAGUCUAACUCCUGAGCAAGUGAGAAAUGAUAUAUUUAGGAUCAACUAUUUUCGAGAGCACAUGUGGCAUGCAUUGGGAUCCCUCAAUUGAGUCUAAACUCCAAUAUACUAAUAUCAAGUUUUUUUUAAAUCAUUCUUAAUUAAUUUUUCUAAUAAAAAUUGGUUUUGGUGGGCAAUACAAUGUUAAUUUUAAAAGUUAUUUUGCAUGGUCAUAUUUGGACAAUUUUGAGUGGAAUAUCGGUUAUACUUCGAAAUUUAGUUUGUACUAUAUUGACUUGACACGAAGCAACUAGUCUAAGAUUUUACAACAGACUUGGAUCAGACUUAACUUUUGCUAUUGACGUCCUAUGAAGACCCACGAUAGCUUUUCGAAAAGAAAAUUUCAAGACGCAUGGCUUUCAAAAGUGUGACGAGAGUCGUAGGUUUUGUCACAAAAUUCGAUAUGAAAAUUCAUUCAAUUUUGUAUUUUAAUUAUUUUUUAAAAUAAUUUAAUAAUUUUGCAUAUUAAAAUUUUUUUCUAUUAUAAAUAGCCUUUCUUGACUACUAAAAACACACUUUUCAAUCUCUAAAGAAUUUCAACAAGACUGUUCGUCUUUAAACCUAUUUUUUCUCUUAUAUCAUUUUAGUCAAACAAUAUUAGUUAAAAUUUCUGACGAAAUCUAAUUAAUCCUUUAUCAUGACUAUCAUGAUAACUUGAAAAGAUUACCCAAAGAUUCCACUAAUUGGUUCAAGGAUAAGUUCCAGCCCUUGGAGGAUUACUUUAAAGGAUUCAAGGAAAGUUGGCAAAUACUACAAAAUGUAGUCUAGGUUGAGGUGCCAAAAUUAAAGAGAUAUGGCUUGUGUGUGUCUUGCAAUGAAAUAAUAUGACUGGGCUACUUCUUAGCUCCAAUGACAUAGCUUGUGUGGUAAUAGUUUUGUGUGUAUCUAGCAAUUAAAUAAAUAUCGUUGGCUUACUGUUAAGCUCCCAUGACAUAGGUUGUGUUGUAAUCAAGUGAGCAGUAUUCAGUUCAAAUCGAAAAAAUCAAUUGAAUUAAAUUAAUUUAAAAUUUUAUUUUGUUUUUUUAUUCAUUUUGGUUUGAUUUGAUUUUUAAUUUCAAAAUUUUUUAUUAUUUUGAUUCAGUUUGAUUUUUAUCAGAAAAAAAUUAAAAAAAUCGAAUAAAACCGAUUAGUGAUAAUAGUAUAUUAUUUUCAAUAAUAUAGAGAGAUUAUAUCAUAUUAAAAUAUUACAAUUAAAUUUUAAUAUACUAAAAAUAAAGUGUAAAAAAUAAAAAAAUUAUUAAAAAUUUAAAUCGAUCAAACCAAAUUGAAUCGAACCGAAUCAGAUCGAUCAGUUUGAUUUGAUUUUUAAUCAAAAUCAAUUCGAUUUGAUUUUUAUAAAUAUUAAAAUUUUAAUUUUUAAUUUAUUCGAUUCGAUUUUAAAUUAAGCAGACUGAAUAUUCUGCUCUGAUAAUAGAUUUUGAAAUGUAAUAUGAAUAUUUAUACGUAUUUUGAGAAUUUUAUUAAUAUUAUUGGACUUUAUAUACAUGAAUUUUAUUAAUGCUUUUUUUUUUUUUAAUUGUUUCUUUUUAUAUAUAGAAAUGAGCUUUUUAAAUAACCGUAAUUCGAUGAUUAUAAAAAAUAUUGUGAAAUCCGCUUGUAUUAUAAUCAUAUAUAUUUCUAAUUUAGCGAUAAAUAUAUUUUAUUUUAAAAGAAUAAAAAAAUAUUUAGAGAGUAAAAGAGAAAAUUAAUAUAUUUUUAAAAAGAAGAAUGUCUUUUUCUUUUUAAAAUAAGUUCUAGCUUUGAGAAUUUGAUUCAUAUUUGACUCUAUUUAUAUAAAUCUUAUUAACACUCUUUCUGUUUUUUUAACAUUGCAACCAUACAGUUAAAAUGAAUUAUUUUCUUAAAAAAUGAUAUACUUUAAAAUUAUUUUUUUAAAUACAAUUAUUAAAAUACUAGUAAACGUUAUUUAUAUGAAUUCAAAUCUAAAUACUUCUAUGGUAUAUAUAUAGAGUAUAAAUAAUAUUUUUUUUAUUAAUUUAAUUUACAAAUCAAAUUUUAAUUUACAAAUCAAAUAAUAUUUUUAGUAUAAAUAGGAUUGUCAUAUUAAUCCUUGAUUUGUGAAUUGUAAUGAGUGAUGAAUUAUCAUUUUGAAUUGAAUGAAUUUAAAUUGAGUUUAUAAAAUUCAUUAAUGCAUAUAAUUAAAAUAUCCAAUACUACUAAAUUAUAUUUUAGCUCAUUAGUUAAUUACUUAACUUUUUUACUUUUAAAUAUAAAAUCAUUUCACUUCAAAAAAAAAAAAAGUAUUUAUAUAUUUAUAAUAAAAAACAAAUUUGAAAACAUAAUCAUCAGACAAAAACUUUUUCUUUUUCCUUCUUCUUCGACUUUAGCAAUCUCAUUAUUGAGAAAAGGGUUAAUUCUGUAUUCCAAAACCUUUAGUCUAAGCUUAUCUCAGAUCCCAAUCUUGUUCAUUAAUCAAUUCUUGCCUUACUUGUUAUUGGUUCAUCAAUUAAUUCUUGCAUAUCGAUUUCACUUUAAAAAAAUAUAUAAAUUAGAUUUAAAUUCGAUUUGUUUCUGUUUUGCAGAAUUAUUUUUUUUAUUUUCUGCCUAUUUAAGAAAAUUAAUAAAAAAAUAUUUUUAUUAAUAUUCUUUCCUUAAUUGGAAUUGAUACAAAAGUUUCAUGAUGAAAGUAAAUAGAUUUAUUUUUUGAUGUGAUAGUUUGAGAUUUUAGGUGGUCCAAGUGAAUGUUGCCACCUUUAUUAAUAUUAAAAUUAAAAUAAUAAUCAUCAUGCAAAGAAAUUAAAGGCGGUGCGCUGGGUCCCCUCAAAAGAAAAUAAAUUGAAAAUCGGUGCUAUUUAAAUUGAUUUUUUAUAUUCAAUUUAAGAUUUAAUAAAUUUAAUGUAAAAUGUAAAGUGUAAUCUUGCCACGUUUUAUUUUUAAAUACGCAUCAUAUUUAGUAUUUAUAGAUUUAAUAUGAUAAUAAAUAUAUCUUAAUUAUAUUUAAGAUUUUUAUAAAUAAAAUUUUAAUUUGAAAGUUUUUGAAAGAUAACGACAUAGAAAAAGGAAAAACAGAAAAAGGAAAAACAAAACAUUAAAAAAUAUCCUAACAUAUUAGUGAUUGUAACGUUAAAAUCAUUAUGUCUAAAUUAAAGGAUGACAUGUAAAAAUAAACCCUUUAAGAUAGCUUAUAUGAAACACUAAUGGAGUAAAAAAUAUUUCAGUUUUAGUAAUUUUUCUUGAUUUCAAAAGUUUAUUAUAAUUUUGUUAUUUAAUUGCUGAAAAAUAAAAUAAAAUAUUCUUUAAUAUUUAUAUAUAAUCAUUCAAAAUUAAUUGCAAAUGCCUAUACUAUAAUAAGUUAUUAUAUCAAAAAUAAUUAUUAUUUAAUCUUUUAAAUUUAGUAAAACUUAUUAAAUAGUUUUGUAAUUUUAAAAAAUAUAUUCAAACAUAUCUGAGUUAUUAAAAAAUCUACUAAUUAAUUUAUCUGUUAAUUUUAAUAAUUAAAUAUUGAAAAAAAUAUAAAAUGAGAGACUAAUUAGUUUAAUUUUUAUAAAAUUAAAGGACUAAUUAAUACAUUUUAUUUAUUCUAUAAGAAUUAAAUAGUAGAAUACUUAAUAUUUAAAGUUAAUAAAUGACUGAUUAGUAUAUUUUUUAAUAUUUCAAAAUGUUUUAAUGAGUUUUUUUUACAAUUAAUAGACUAACUAAUUAAUUUUAUUAAAUUUAAAAAGCUAAAUAAAUUUUUUUAAAUUAAUAGUUUUAUUAAAUUUAAUGGGCUAAAUAAUUUUUUUUUUAUAUGUUAAGAGUUAAAAAUAAAUAUCUUUUUGUUGAACUAUGCAAAUUUAUUGCAUUUUUUAUGGGUUAGUCCAACAAAAAAAUAAAGCAUCCAAAUGACUCGUAUCUACAAAAAUAACCCAGUAAUCUAAGAACCCAAACAGUAGCUCAAAAAGUAGAAACUCCCAACCCAUAUUGACUCAAGCUAAAUCCUGAGUCAUCACUGCACCAUUUGAGUCAACAAAAAACCGAUAAGGGAAAAAAAUAUUACUGAGAAACAAUGUCAGCAACCCCUAUCCAACCCUUUAGCAAAAAUAAAAAAUAACAAUAAGAGAACACAGAUCACAACCACACAUGCAAACAAAUCUAGAUUGGAAAGAGUAAUGGCCGAACUUAAGCAGCUUAGACGAAAACUAGGCGCAAAAAGAGCGGCAUAGCAGAGCUCUUAGCCCGUCAUCAGACUAUGAGAGCGUAACUCAUCGGGCGUAUCGAUGUAUUUCGGAGGUGCAAUGCUACACAUGCAAAUAACUCCCAAAAGCUAUACAGACAAACCCUCAAACCAGAUUUAAAAGAGCAAUUUCACUACUAAGAAACGUUAAAAACUUACACAAAAAAAAAAACUAAAAAGAAAAUAAAAUAAAAACUUAUACCAACCACCCAUUUUUAGUGAGAAAGAAAUAGAGGGAUUCAAAAGUAUGGAAGAGCAGAAGAAACUCAAAUUCAAAAACCAAAGUAAAUCAAAUAAGAGCAACUGAAGAUAUCAGAAAGACACCAACACAAAAGCCUGAAACCCUCAUUGACGCCUACUGCCCGUUCGUCUGCUCUAUUUCCUUCUUUCGUAUUUCCUUUUUUAUUUCUCUCUAAACUACUGUGAUGGAUUUUAUUUAAAAUUAUAUGUUCUCAUAACAUAAAAUAUCAUGACUUUUUUUAUUAAUUUUAUUAAAUUUAUAAUAAAGAUAAAAUAUAAAUAAUUUUUUUCAUUAAUUACAUUAAUGGACAUUUUAUCUUCUGACGUAAAAAAAACAAAAAAGUAAUGGGCUCAGUACAAUUACUGGAAAGUUGAAAUUUGCAAAAGAGAUUAAUCUUAUUCUUGAUAAAAAAGCAAAAAACAAAUGUACUGUUGUGGAGAAUCCUUGUGUUGGUAGGCCCCAUGUGAUUUUUUAGUGGGCCACCCUUGUUCUCCACUAGCAAUGCAAAAUUUGUCUUCCUUUCAGAAUUGUGAUGAGGAAGUUGUUUUUUCAAAAAAAACAAAAAUUGAAAAACAAAGUGUUGAAAUUAUUUUAAAAAAUUUUAUAUGUAAAAAUAUACUUUAACCUUAAAUUAUUUUAGUAUUUUAAUUAAUAUAUUUUUAAAACAUUCGUCAACAAUAAUAUUAACAAAUCUCCAUACACAUUAUAGAAAAUAUUUAUUUAUCAGCUUAUCAUUUUACUAUUUAUUAGCAUUAAACUAAUAAAUUAAUUAAUAUAAUUAAAUAUACUAAUUUUUUUUAGUAAUUUUAAUAAUAAAUAUAUUUAUAGGUUACAUUGUAUUAGAUAUAUCUAUUAUUUAUCAAUUAUUUAUAAAUAUUUUAAGUAAAUAUGUGAUUAUUUAAAAUUUUAAAUAUUUAUAAAAUUAAAAAUAAUUGAUAAUAUUAAGUAUUUAUAGACUUGGUCUGAUAAUAAAUGUAUCUGAGUAAAUCUAAUAGAUCUUAAAUUCUAUUCUCCAGUUCCUAUUUUUUAAAAAAAAAUUAAGUAUUUAAAACUAUAUUUGGUAAUUUAAGUUUAAUUUCAAGCAUAAAAUUACACAUAGAGUUAGACUCUGAAAUUCACUUUUCUUUCUUUGUUAAAGAAUAAUAUUGCUUAGAAUUCCAUCAAUCUAAUUUUCAAACGUCAUAUAUAUUCAAAAGGCUUAAAAUUAAAAAAAAAAAGCCUAAACUUUAUAUUUUUUUAAUUGUCUUUUUUUUUUUUUUACUUUUAUCAAUUUAGUGAAGGAAAAUGAAAUAUACAUAUAAUCUUAUAUAACUAUAUAUAUCAAUUAAUAAGAAGAAAAAAAAUUGUUUUAAUUAUUUAAAUGAAACAUGUAAAAAAUAUUUUUUUAAAAAAAUUAAAUUCUAAUGAUCAGAAAAUAAAACAUAUUUAUUUAAAAAAUAAAAACAAAAGAUAUUAAUAUUCCUUACAAAGAAAAUUUUACAAUGUACAUUUUUAUUAUCACAAUUGGCAAAUACUGAAAUUUAUACAGAUUUUCUUCCUAAAAUAGCAUAUUUUGAUGUCAAGCAUUAAAGGGAGUAAUUAAAAUUGAUAAAUUGUACAUAUUUCCCAUUAAUUUUUAAAUUAAAUUUCAAAUAUUUUCAUUUUUUUUAUAAAUCAUCCGGUAUUUUAAAUUCACGUACUUUACUUAUACAGAUUUGUGCCGGACAAGUCCAAUAAAGAAUAAAACACUUCUAUAUCACGUAUUUUACUUAUAUAAAUUCGUAUUGAACAGAUGUAAUAAGGAAUAAAACGCUUCCUUUCAAAUUUAUAAAGAUAUUUUGUACCUAUAAUUCAAACUCAAAAUCUCAUAUCAGAAAAGAGGAAACUUGCGACAUUCCUAAAUGGUAAAUUUCAUAAUUUUCUAAUUAUGCCUCUUUUGAUUUUUUUUUUUCAUUUAAUAUAUCAUUGGUUAAUAUAGAGUUUUGAGUUAGUAUCCAGUGCCAUGCUCAAUUUUUCUUAAAUUUUAAUAAUAAUAUAAAUAAAAUUUGGUUAUAAANNNNNNNNNNNNNNNNNNNNNNNNNNNNNNNNNNNNNNNNNNNNNNNNNNNNNNNNNNNNNNNNNNNNNNNNNNNNNNNNNNNNNNNNNNNNNNNNNNNNNNNNNNNNNNNNNNNNNNNNNNNNNNNNNNNNNNNNNNNNNNNNNNNNNNNNNNNNNNNNNNNNNNNNNNNNNNNNNNNNNNNNNNNNNNNNNNNNNNNNNNNNNNNNNNNNNNNNNNNNNNNNNNNNNNNNNNNNNNNNNNNNNNNNNNNNNNNNNNNNNNNNNNNNNNNNNNNNNNNNNNNNNNNNNNNNNNNNNNNNNNNNNNNNNNNNNNNNNNNNNNNNNNNNNNNNNNNNNNNNNNNNNNNNNNNNNNNNNNNNNNNNNNNNNNNNNNNNNNNNNNNNNNNNNNNNNNNNNNNNNNNNNNNNNNNNNNNNNNNNNNNNNNNNNNNNNNNNNNNNNNNNNNNNNNNNNNNAAAAAAAAAGGAAGGAAGAAUAAAAAUAUAAUGCAGGGAAGGAGGAAGGGAGAGGUUUUCCCUUAAAUCUGGUUGGAAGAGAAAGUUUUGUAGAGAGAAAAAUUUUAAAGAAUAAUCUUGUUUCGCUCAGAACCUAGGUUUAUGUGGUUAAUUAAAAAUUAUAUGAUUAUUUUUUUAAAAAAAAUUCAUAAUCAUUAUCUUCUAUGAUUCCAUUGUUGUAAAAUUUACCACUUCAAAGCUUAAGAAUAACCAAUUUCUGGCAAAUUUGGAUUAGUAUAUUUUAAAAAAAUAGACUUCAAUUAAUAUUCUACUGGAUGAAAUUUUUUAAGUGAAAAAUUUUUAUACCCAUUCGGAUAUAUAUAUUUAUUUAAUAUAAUUUUAAUAGAUAAUUUAAAAUUUAAAAAGAAAAAUCAUUUAAAAUAUUGUAAAAUUUAUAUAUUAAUAUGAAAUUUUAAUUUAUCAUUAGUGGAAUAUAUUUGAAAGAAUUUUCAUUUAAGGUGAUGUGCGAAUAUGACUCUUUAUAUACAUAAGAACGUUGCACGUCAUGAAGGAUUAAUUUUAACCCUUUGUCAAAAGAAAAAAGUGGGCCAAUCUCCAUGGAAUCUUGCUUUGGCUUUAAACCAUCGGACGACGACGUGACACAAAAAGGGCAAGUGGACAAUCAUGCAUGCAAUGAAUCACGUUAGCAUGAACUCUAUAUAAAGGGCAGUGCCAUGAGAAGUGCAAACCACACAAGCACUUGAAAAUCUUAACACCAUCAACAUGGCUUUAGCUUUCAAACACUCUCUUCUGCUGGGGAUGCUCGUCUUCCUCAUAGCUCUGUUGGCUCUUACUGAGCCAACAAUGGCUGAUGAUGUUGAUGAUGUCCCUGAUAACUUUAACCGUACUUAUUUUCCAGAUGAUUUCAUUUUUGGCACAGCUACUUCUUCUUACCAGGUAUAUUCAGACCUUCAUUUUUAUCUAUUUGUUCCUAGUUUGCAUUAUUUGCUUUGCUUCUUUUUUCUGUUUAUAAAAUUUGCUUAAAAUAAAUAAUAUUCAAUUUUACAUUAGAUCGAAGGUUCAACAAACAUAUCUGGUAGAGGACCUAGUGUCUGGGAUAUAUUUACUCAUGAAUAUCCAGGUACGAUCAAAUGCAUAGCAACAUAUGAUAUAUAUGUGCAAAAUAUUAAUUAUUUGUAUGUAAUCUUGUAGAAAGGAUAAAGGAUCACAGUAAUGGAGAUGUUGCCGUCGAUUUUUACAAUCGAUUUCCGGUAUAAUAGUUAAACUUUUUUUUUUUUAAUUUUCUACAAAAAUCAUUGUAUUGACAACAAUGAAAUUAAAUUGCAGGAGGAUAUCAGAAAUGUGAAGGAUAUGGGUUUUGAUGCAUUCAGAUUAUCAAUUUCGUGGUCUAGAGUUAUACCCAGUAAGUAAUUUAUUAUUGUAUGAAUAUUACUCCAUAUAUAUAGUAAGUACUUUCACACUUGUUUAUAAUAUUAAUUUUAAAAUGUUCAGGUGGAAGAAGAUCUGAAGGAGUGAACGAGGAGGGGAUAAAAUUUUAUGAUGAUGUUAUCAAUGAAGUUCUAAGACAGGGUGAAAAUCAUCUUUUUUUCUCUUAAAUUUUGUGAAUUAUGCCUUUAAUAUCUGCAAAACAUAUUCAAAAACCAUAAAUUUGAAUAAUUACAUUUAAUUAAUUACUAGCAUAAUUGCAUCAUCUUUUAAAUUCUUAAUUUUCAUUAAGUUUUCCGUCCAACGUGAAGUCAUCAUAUUAUUACAUCAAAUUUAUAAUUUUUCUUUUUGUUACAAAAAAUUCAGAUCUUAUACCAUUUGUUACAAUUUUUCAUUGGGAUACUCCUCAAGGUCUAGAGGAUAAAUAUGGCGGCUUUUUAAGUCGUAAUAUUGUGUAAGUAUACAAACCCAAAUAAUAUUUUCAAAUUACAAAAGAGAAAUUUAUGUAUCAAUUUUUCAAUAUAAUAUUCUCAUCUAACUAAUAAAAUAACUUAUAUAUAAUAUAUAGGGAUGAUUAUCGUGAUUAUGCGGAUCUUCUCUUCGAAAGAUUUGGUAAUCGAGUGAAGUUUUGGAUGACUUUUAAUGAACCGUGGGCUCUUAGUGGAUUUGCCUAUGAUGAUGGAUUUUUUGCUCCCGGUCGAUGUUCAUCUUGGGUGAAUCGUCAAUGUCGUGCUGGAAAUUCAGCUACUGAACCUUAUAUAGUUGCACAUCAUCUCCUCCUCGCACAUUCUGCAGCUGUUAAUUUAUAUAGAGAAAAGUACCAGGUUGGUGAUUUUUGGAUAUACAUACAUGCAUGCCUAGUUUCUUUGUCAAAUACAAAUCUAUCUAGAUUAAUGUGACAUUCUUUUUAUAUUGAUUAUAUAGAAAAUUCGACCCGGCGCGACAAUAGGCAAGAUUGGAAUAACACUCUUUACCUUUUGGUUCGAACCAUUAUCCAAUAGAUCAAUUGAUAUAGAAGCAUCCAGAACAGCACUUGAUUUCAUGUUUGGAUUGUAAGUUUUUCAUUCAAAUUAAUCCAGCUUAUAUACAAAAGUAAUAAAUAAUACAUAUAAUUUUACUAUAUUUUUCAGGUGGAUGGAUCCUUUAACUUAUGGUCGUUAUCCAAGACGUGUGCAAGAUUUAGUUGGAGAUAGAUUGCUCAAUUUUACUGAAAAAGAAACUGAAAUGCUUAGAAAAUCAUAUGAUUUUCUUGGGUUACAAUAUUAUACUUCGUAUUAUGCAAAACCAAAUGCUCCAAUUGAUCCAGAUCAUAUUAGAUACAAAACUGAUAGUCAAACCACUACAACCGGUAAGCUCAUUCAGAAAUGUGAUAUAUUAAAAGUAGAAAGAAUAUAUAUGUGGGUUGAUAUAAGUAUCCUUUUUGAAAAGAAUUUUCAUUUAUAACAUGUUUUUUUUUCCUUACAGCCUAUGACUAUGACGGUAACCCAAUUGGUCCACACGUAAGUGUGUAUUAAAAUGAAAUUUAGUAUAAAAAAGAGAAGAAAAUUGCACGUUUAUGAAUAGUAUCACUGACAUAAAAAUAAAAAUUUGCAGGCUUACUCACCUUGGUUUUACAUUUUUCCAAAAGGCAUUCGACAUCUUUUGAACUAUACCAAAGAUACAUAUGAAGAUCCAGUAAUUUAUAUUACUGAGAAUGGUAAAUAGUUUAUUUCUUUUGUUAUAGAAUUACUAGCGAGCUAUUCACAUUAAUAGUGUGCUCCAAUUUAUUUAAGUUUUUCAUAUAUUAAUUCAGGGGUUGAUAGAUACAAUAACGAAAGUCGAACUCCUGAGCAAGUGAGAAAUGAUACAUUCAGGAUAAACUAUUAUAAAGAGCACAUGUGGCAUGCAUUGGGAUCCCUCAAGUGAGUCUAAACUCCAGUAUGCUAAUAUAAAGAUUUUUUUUUUAAUAAUCCUUAAUCAAUUUUACUAAUAAAAGUUAGUUUUUGUAGGAAAUACAAUGUUAAUCUCAAAGGUUAUUUUGCAUGGUCAUAUUUGGACAAUUUCGAGUGGAAUAUCGGUUAUACUUCGAGAUUUGGUUUAUACUAUGUUGACUAUCAUGAUGACUUGAAAAGAAUGCCCAAAGAUUCCGCUAACUGGUUCAAGGAUAAGUUCUUGAUGAGCCCUUGGAAGGUUACUUCAAAGGAUUCAAGGAAAGUUGGCAAAUACUACAUAAUGUAGUAUGGGUUGAGGUGCCAAAAUUAAAGAGAUAUGGCUUGUGUGUGUCUUGCAAUGAAAUAAUAUGAUUGGGCUACUUCUUAGCUCCAAUGACAUAGCUAGCUUGUGUGGUAAUAGUUUUGUGUGUCUUUGUCUAGCAAUUAAAUAACAUCAUUGAGCUUACUGUUAAGCUCCAAUGACAGGUUGUGUUGUAAUAUAUUUUUGAAAUGAACAAGGAGUGUUUAUCUCCUUUAAGGAAUUUUAUUAAUAUUAUCGGCCUUUGUAUGCAUGAAUUUUAUUAACACUUUUUUUUAGUUUAUUGAAAAAAAUCUAAAUAUUUAGAUUAAUUGAUAUUUAUAGUUAAAAUUUUAACUUUGAAUAAUAAAAUUAAAUAUUUAUAGUUUGUCACAAUUAUAAUAAAAAAAUUAAGUUAAAUUUGAAAAAAAAAACAGUAAAUUAUAAUAUAGUCUCUAAAAUUUUAUAUUAAUUAAAUAUAUAAACCCUUUAAUUCAAAUUUAUAUUAAAAAUAGAUAUAUUUUAUAUUUAUCAUAUAUAAUAUUAAUUAUAUUAUAUAAUAAAUAAAUAUUUAUUAUAAAGUUCGUGAAAUAUUUAUACUCAACAUUAUGUGCGUAUUUUCAUAUAUAAAAAAAACUAUACUUUAUAUUAAUAAUAUUAAUAAAAUAAAAUAUUAUAUAUUUUAGACUAUAAAGUUUUAUUGUUUUUACAUUUUAAAUUUUUAUUAAUCUAUAAUGUGCCUAUGAAAGUGGGAAUAAGCAAAAGUGAGAAUGAAUAAUGAAUAUAAUGAGAUUAAUAAAAAAGGAUAUUGCUAAAAAAAAGUAAAACUUUAUGUAUUAUAUUAAUUUUUUAAAUUUUAAUUUAAUAUUUUAAUUAUAAUUAUGAUAAAUUAAAAAAUUUAAUUUUAUCAUGCAAAAUUUAAAAUUUUAGAUAUCAAUAUAAAUUAUUACUAAUAUUUAAAUUUUUUGUCUAAUAAACUUUUUUUAAUAUUGUAGUCUCACCAUGCAAAAUAAAUUAUUUUCUUAAAAAAUAAUAUAUUUAAAAAAUAUUUUUUAUGAAAUAAAUAAAGGCUAAUGUUAUAUUUAAUUUUUAGAUUAUGUUUUAUAUAAAGGUAGACGGCCCUAAUUAUGAAAAAGAUAUAGUUUAUUUGUUCUAUAAUUUUUAUUUAUUUAUUUUUAAUUAUUUUAAAAUUAUUACUCAUUUUUUUAUAUUAUACACUAUUAACAUAUAAAUUAAUUAUUAUAAUUCUAUUUAAUUUUAUUUUAUUUUCAAUAUAAUUUUUUAUUAAUUAAUUAUUAUUUUUUUAAAAUUAAUAUUCAAAAUAUCUUCUAAUAUUUAAUAAAAUUUAAUGUAUUUAAAAUGAAUAUAAUUAAAAAAUUAAUAAAAAAUUAUAUGACAAAACAUAAAGAGAAGAGAAUCAUACAUAUAAUAAAAUAAUGCCGUAUAAUAUAUAGUUUAGUUUAGUUAUUUUGACUUUGUUUUUAUGGAUUAACUUGAAAUUGAAUCGAAAAUUAUAAUUCAAUUAUUUUGUGUUUCAUUAAUUAAUUUUUUAAAAUAUUUUAAAUAUUAAAAAAAUAUUCUUAAAAAAUAUUUCUUAUAAAAUAAAUGAAAUCUUAAAAAAUAAAAUUUAUCAAAAAAUUGAUAUAAUAAAAUAAGAACCCCUCAACAGUAGUCUAAAAGACCAUAGAAAACUUAUCGAGGCAAAGGGGAAAAGAGCAAACUUUUCCAUCAAACCCAAUAUUCAAAACAGCAGAGGGCAAGGAUAGAAGCUCAAAAUGAACGCAUGAAACACAGAGGGAGGCCGGCCCCAAGAGAGAGGCCAUCAUCUUCCGUCACACCACUCCCUCAUCAUCUGGGUCAGGAGAGGAAAACCCUUCCAAAAAGAAGCCCACACAAACGAAGCCUGUUCCACCAAAACCGACAGAACCAUCUCAUAGUAAACAUCCCACAGAUGCCACACGCCGGAGGACAAGCCAUAGGUGCCGCCAACAACAUUAUGUAGUGCGAGAGCAGCCAAAUCUGGACAACAAUCACAAAUCCUAUACAUACAAAGAAAAGGUGAAACAUCCAAACUAAACACAAAGAACAGUUGCAAAUAAAACCUAGAAAACCGCCCUAAAGCACAGAAACACAACCAUCGGGAAUGAGAAAAAGCAACAACUGCUGCCACAUGCAGGGAUGACCACCGCCUACCGCCACCAAAGUGAAGAACACUGGCCAUAACGAUUGCAAUUUGUAUAGUUAUUGAAUAGCUCAAGGAACAAAACACGAUUCCGAUGUCAACAAUCCACCGGCCUUCAAUGCUCCAACCACAAAUGACCUUGAGAGACCACCCAUCUAACUCAAACGAAAAUGAGAACAAACACGAAAAACAAAAUUGAAAAAAUUCUACAAGGCCAACGACAUCGAUCGAAUCUUGCCUAAAAGCAGAUGGCUUGAUCCAAUGGUAACAAAACUUGAGAUCUUAGCUCUCUUUCUCUCUCUUCUCUUUCUUCUCUCUUCAAAGGAAAAAAGAAUGCCAAUAAGUGAUAAUGCUUGCAGUUUUUAUAACAAAUACUUUGUCAUUCUUAUAUGCAUGCAGUAAACUUUUUAUUAAUAGUUUAAUACAUAUACCAGAAAUAAUUAUUUAAUUAGAAUAUCAAAAAAUAAAAUAAAUUAAUAAACUUCAUGUAUAAAAAGUUCACAAUGUUAAGAAUAAUUUUAAAAUUUUAAUAUAAAUUAUAUUUAAAAUAGCAUUGGUGCAGCGGAUUUAGAGAGUAAGCAUACAUUUUUUUUGUUUUGAAAUGAAAAAUUGAAAAUUGGAGGAUAAAAUCUGAGACCUUUUAUAUUUAUUUAAAUAUACUUUACCAUCAGAUUAAAUAUAUGCGCGAUGUUCUUACUUUUUAAAAAUUUUAAUUAAGAGUUAUGUUAAAUAUAUAUUUAUUUUUAAUAUAAUAUUAUGUUUCGAUCCUCAUUUCUAAAAAUAAAAAAUGGGAAGUAGAAAUAAGUAAGCAAAUUUUUUUAAAUUUCAUGAGUUUAUUUUUAAUAAGAUGUUAUAUUUAGUAAUUUUUCUAUUGUUGAAAAACUUAUUUUUUUAUUAAUCUAACUAAAUAAAAAUUGUGGAUUGAAAUUUAAUAAAUUCGAUUGUAUGUUUACUAAAUUAAACUAUAAUUUAUUUAUUAAAUUUAAAUUUAUUAAAUGUAUAUUUUAAGUAUAAAUAUUACUUUAAUGAAUAUUUUAUUAAAUAAUAGAAUAUUAAAUAAUAAAAAUUGAGGAAGUGGGAUGGGGGCAGGACAAGGAGGAAAAUAUAGAUUUUUUUUUCAUUUUUUUAAGAUAAAUGAAAAAUAAAUCUCAAAUAAAAAUAAAUUUUUUUUAUUGUAUAUAAAAAAAAAGUUUUAGUUAAUUCCCGUUUAUCAUCUUGGAAAAAUUUAGGUAUACAUAUGAUUUUAUAAAUUUUCUUUAAAUUGAAAAAAAUUAAAUAGAAAAAAAUUAUUAUUUUCAAACACAAAGAAUAGUUAUGCCUUUCCGAUUAUUUAUUUAUUUCUUUCUUUCCUCUCCCAUAUCAAAAAUGGGUAAUUUUUACCUGUAAUAACUGAAUUUUAAUACUUGUUUUAUUGUAAUUAUUAAAUUUAAUUUUAUUUCAUAAAACAUUAAUUUUUUUUUAUUUGAACUUCAAAUGGUAAAUCUCGUCAGAAUUUAAUAGAAUCUCUAAUUAGGUUUUUACAUAGACUAAUUUUACUUAAAAAUUGAAGGUAAUCUCGUCAUUAUCAUCAAACUAAUUAUUCACCUAUCAUAAUAAUUGAAGAUGCUAUUUGAAUUUAGCCACAGCCGAUUUUACAUGUGUGGGGAUGUAGCUCACAUGGUAGAGCGCUCGCUUUGCAUGCGAGAGGUACGGGGUUCGAUCCCCCGCAUCUCCACUAUUUUUUUUAUAUUUAUUUUGCCUAAUCUUGAAAACGAAGAGGCCCAGCCCAUGUCAAGUGCCAAUUCAGGCUUUCACGAGCCCAGUUUUUCUAGAGCUUCAAAAUCCCACUUAAAUUUCAGGCUUUUCCUUUGUUUUUUUGUCAAGUACACUGUCUUCACUGAAUUUCCUGCAACUCUCUACAAAUCUUCAUCUGAAAACAUUGUUUUUGAGAUUGAGAAUUCACAAUCCACAUUAGAAAAAAAAUUAAAAGUAUUCUCAAUGGACCAAUCUCUCCCUCAACAGAAAUUGAAAAAGAAAGCAGUGAGUCAUUUCAUAAGGCCACAACCACCAUGAAUAAAACUCAAGGAAGCUAGCUGUCUCUUUCAUAUCUCAGCAGUGGAGAUGUCUAUUUUCUGCCAUAUAUAUAUAUAUAUAUAUAUAUAUAAAUAUAAAGGCACUUGAUAUCUGCUUUUGUGAUUUUGUGCAGACACUACAGUCGCUCACUAUUUUGUCUACAAAAUGAUGCAUGAUGAUCUGAGAUCUAAUAGAUUAGGGUUUUAUAAGGGUUUGUGUAUUGAAGAAAAAACUUGGCUUAUCUCCCUAGAGGAGUAUCCCUUUUAUCAUUUUUUUCCUGCUUGCUGGUGACGUAUAAUGGCUCUCCCAUGAUUGGACAACGCGUCUCUGCCGUACAGAUAUGGGCGUACGAGUGUAUCAGGUGCCUGCUCCAUGCGUAACGGCCUCUGAUUCUCCCCCGUGCGUACACUUGAGCGGAUCUGCCAGGCUAUAUGACGAGUCUCGUUCUGGAUUCUGGGCUGGGCCGAGAGCUGGGCUGGACGAUGAACCCAGGAGGAGAAAGAAUCCGUGGGGAGGUUAUACGGGCUGGGCCGAUCUCGAUGAAAGAAGAAUCUGGUGGAGUCCGGCCUCAGGGGUCUGAUGAUCCGGGCCUGUUUUACCUAAGAGGGCGUGCGGGCCUUCCUUUCAUGGGCCGUGGCCGUAAUCUAGGCCCAGGAUUGGAGUAGGAAAAUCCAGCGGUCAUCAAAGCAUUUUGGAGAAAUUUUUUCUAUAAAAGAGUACAUGAAGGAAAAUGAUGAUUUCUUUUCUUUUCACUUUCUUUGAUUAUAAAGUUAGAGUAGUCAGGAUCAUUAAUCGAGAACCCUCUAUGUCUAUCUGAAAUCUUUUCAGUAAGGCUAAAAGCCUACAUAAUUAAGUUUAUAACCAAAUAGAAUACUUGGAAUUUUACAAAAUACUUCAGUGAACCAAAUUGUUAUUAUCAUGAAAAUUAUUUCCAUAACACUGCCCUUUUCUAAAGAUUCUCAUGAAACUUGGUUUAUAGAGUUUUGCGAGUUAAAAUCCAUAUGUAUUAUAAUGGUCCGUUCAUAUCUACAAUCAAUUUACCUAAUCUAAACUAUAAAUAUGAAUAUAAAUUUUAUUUAUUUUUAUGUGGUUCAAAGUAUUCAUAAAUUAUUCAAGAUUCGUUUCGAUAAAAAUUCGAUUAAAUUCAAAUUAUUUUUGAAACAAGUUAAAUUCGAAUUUAAAUUGUAGGCUUACUUAUUUAACGAGCCGAGUAUUAAUUUCGUUAGUAUUUGCAUCGUUAAAAUUUAUGAAUUCAAAAUAAUAAAUUAACUCGUUGAAUAUACUCGAAUUCAAAUUUUAAGCUUAUUUAUUUAACGAGCCGAAUAUUAAUUCCGUUAGUAUUUGCAUUAUUAAAAUUUAUGAGUUCAAAGUAACAAAUUAACUCAUUGAAUAUACUCGAAAACAUACUGAACUCAAUAUAAUAAAAGAAUUAAAUUUAAAACUUACAUAAAAUUUCAUAAUUUAAAUUUGAGUUUUUUAAAAUUUAAUUUCAUUCAAUUGAAUUACACUCUUAAAAUUUAUAAAUAUAUAACUUGUUAAAAUUUGAGAGCUCAAUGUUUAUAAAUUUAAUAAGUUAAUUUAAAUAUAUACUGUUUUUUGAUUCAAAAAAUAUAUAUAUACUGUUUAACUAAAAUUAUUUAAUUUUGAAUUUAUUAAUUUUAAAUUAAAAUUUAUUAUAAUAAAGCAGUUUAAUAGCUUGUCAUUUAAAUUUUUUUUAAGUUAAUUAAAAUAAAAUUUUGUCUUUUAUUAAAGAAAAGCCAAAUUUGACCUCUUUUCAUGCUUCCAAUACAAUCCAUUACCGAUGAGUCCAAUCCAUUCCAUCUAUUUCAUUUAAAAUCAAAUUAAAAUAAAUAAAUUAAAAAUUAAAAAUUUAAUAUUUUUAAAAAUUAAAUUAAUUUUAAUUAAAAAUCAAAUCAAAUUGAAUUGAUUCGAUUCGAUUUAAUUCAAUUUGGUUUAAUUAAUUUUAAUUUUUAAUAAAUUUUUUAUUUUUUACUCUUUAUUUUUAGUAUUUUAAAAUUUAAUUAAAAUAUUUUAAUUUUAAUAUGCUUUAAUUUCUCUAUAUUAUUAAAAAUAACAUAUUAUUAUCUCUAAAUUGAUUCGAUUCGAUUUUUUUUAAUCAAAAUUGAACCAAACUGAAAUAACUGAAAUUUUUAAAAUUAAAUCGAAACGAACUAAAAUGAAUAAAAAAAUCAAACUAAAAUUUUAAAUUAAAUCAGUUCGAUUAAUUUUUUCGAUUUGAACUGAAUUCUACUCACUCCUCCUCCUAUUAUCCUUAUUUGAAUUUGGACGCAACAAUAUAUUUAUACGUGUCAUUUUAUUAAAAUUUAUAAAUAAAAAAAAUUAACAUGCACCAAUUUAAUUAAAUUCAAGUUCGCAGCUCUUUAUUUUUUCCCAAAAAAACAGCAAAGAAACAAACAAUUCAAGAGUCAAAUUCUGAUGUAAGUGCGUUUCCAAGAGCUGCAUUGUUUAGCGACGUGUUAUUAUCAUAUAAAACCGUAUCUACAGAAGUUUUCUAUUUGACAGAGUUAUUUAAUUCUUUUCAACACUUAUAUGGAUUUAGCCCUAAAUGCAUAGAGAUUUACAAUCCUAUUGUCCUAUUAAAUCGAAUAAGUUACAUUUUAAUUUUUUAACUGAAUCAUAUGAUAUCUUGAGUCCACUUAUCAAACUAAUUUGAAUUCACUUACAUAAAUCUAUGAAGAAAAUCAUUUUUAUGUAUGAAGAAAAUUUUUUACAUUAAAAAAUACUAAAUUUUUUUAUUUUAAAUAAAAAUUUUAUAAAAAAAUUAAUUUUUAUAAAAUUUUUAAUUUCAAAUAAUUGUUUAAAAAAAUUAAGAAAAGUAGACUUCUAGUCAAAAGAGUUAACAAUAAUAAUAAUAAUAAUAACUUAACUAUUUAAGGUUCAUUCUCUGUCAUCUGAUAUCAAUGAUGAAAAUUUUAUGUAAUUAAAAUUUAUAAAUUAAUAAUAAUGUAAGAGAUUAAAUUUUAAAAUAAUAAAAUUAUGUUUAAUGAAAAAUAAAUAAAUCUAUGUGUAUUGAAGGAGAGAUAUAACAUAUAAAUUUAAUUUUCACAAAUUACAUCUCAUUUUUCUUUUUUUGGUAUAAUUUAUUUUGUAAAAAAAAUAUUUUUUUAUAAAAUUACAUCAUAUUUCAAGUUAUUUUAAAAUACAAAUUUUUUAAAUUAAAAAUAAUUGAAUUUUUUAAGAACAAUCAUAAUUAUUUAACACUUUUCAUUCUAUUAAUUAAAAAAUAUGUAUUAUAUAUUUUUUUAAAUUAAUUAUUAAUUAUUAUAAUUUUUCAUCAAUAAGAUUGAGAGUAUUGAUUAUUCAUAAUAUUUUUUUUCAUUUUAAACAAGAGAAUUAUUAAAAAAAAUUAAUUUAAUACAAUUAAAUUCUCACAAAGUCUUUUUAACUCUGAAUGAAGAGUUAGAGUUUGCAUAUGUGAAAGAGCCAUAAAUAUUUUUAAGAGUCUCAUUGAACAAAAAAGUCAAAAUUUACAUAAUAUUAUAUAUAUUUUAAUUUAAAUAUUUUUCAGUAUUGGAUUUAUUAUUUCAAAUUUUUUAAUUUACUAAAAUUAUAUCUUAGAUUAAAGUUAAGACUUAAAAUAAAAACUUAGUAUAUGGUAUGCCAUUUAAAAAUUUUAUUAUUAAAAUACUAAAAUUAUUUUUUAAAAUACAAUUAUUAAAAUACUAGUAAACCUUAUUUAUAUGAAUUCAAAUCUAAAUACUUCUAUAGUAUAUAUAGAGUAUAAAUAAUAUUUUUUUAUUAAUUUAAUUUACAAAUCAAAUUUUAUAAUCAUCAGACAAAAACUUUUUCUUUUUCCUUCUUCUUCGACUUUAGCAAUCUCAUUAUUGAAAUUUGAUUUAAAGGUUUAUGAUGAUUGUAACGUUACAAAAUUAAUUGCAAAUGCCUAUCCUAUAAUAAAGUUACUUUUGUAUUUGAAGAAAAUUAUUAUUUAAUCUUUUAAAUAAAGUAAAAUUUAUUAGUUAGUUUUUUAAUUUUAAAAAAUAUAUUAAAAUAUUUUUAAAAUAUUAAAAAUUCUAUUAAUUAAUUACUCGAUUAAUUUUCAUUUUACCUAUUAAGUGUUGAAAAAAGUCUAAAAUAAAAGAUUAAUUAGUUUAAUUUUUAUAAAAUUAAAAAAUUAACUAAUAAAUUUUGUUGAUGCUAUAAGGAUUAAACAGUAAAAUACUAAUAUCUAAAGUUAAUAAAUGAUUGAUUAAUAAUUUAAAAUAUUUUAAUGAUUUUUUUCAGAUUAAUAAACUAAAUUUAAGAGAGUAAAUAAUUUUUUUUAUAUUAAAAAUUGAAGAUAAAAGUUUUUUUUCUUGAACUAUGUAAAUCUAUUGCAUUUUUCACUGGUCCAACAAGAAACAAAGUAUCCAAAUAACUUAUAUCCACAAAAAUAAUCCAGUAAUUCAAGAACCCAAACAAUAGCCUAAAAAGCAGAAACUCUUAAUUCAUAUUAACUCAAUUGAUCGACACAAGCACCGUCGCACAAAUUUCGAGUCGCCGAUGUACCAUUUGAGUCAUCAGUACAUUAAGAAAUAAUGACAGCAACCUUUAUUUAACUCUUUAGCAAAAAUAAAAAGUAACAAUAAGAGACACAUGAUACAUCUGCACAUGCAAGCAGAUCUAGAUUGGAAAGAGUCACGACCGACGAAAACUAGCCGCAAAAAGAGACAGCGUAGCAGAGCUCUUAGUCAAUUAUCAGACUGUGUGAACGUAGCUCAUCGGAUGUAUUGAUGCGUAGGUGCAAUACCACAUAUGCAAAUAACUCUCCAUAACCAUAGAUACAAAGUCACCAGACCCUCAAAUCAGAUCCAAAAGAGCAAUCCCCACUACCAAAAAAUACUAGGAAUUUGAAAACAUGGAAGAACAGAAGAAACUCAAAUACAAAAAUCAAAGUAAAUCAAAUAAGAGCAACCAAAGAUACCAGAAAGACACCAACACAAAAGUCUGAAACUCUCACCGAUGUCUACAGUCCGUUCAUCCGCCCUAUCUCCUUCUUUCGUAUUCUUUUUUUUUUUUUUCUAUGUAAACUAUUAUAAUGAGUUUUAUUCAAAAUUAUAUGUUCUCAUAAGAUAAAAUAUCAUAGCUUUUUAUUAAUUUCAUUUUUUUUGAAAUAGAAAUUUCAUUAAAUUUAUAGUAAAAAUAAAAUAUAAAUAAUUUUUUUCAUUAAUUACAUUAAUGGACAUUUUAUCUUCUGCCCAAAAAAAAAAAGUAAUGGGCUUAGUACAGUUACUAGAAAGUUGAAAUUUGUAAAAGAGAUUAAUCUUAUCCUUGAUAAAGAAGCAAAAAAGAGAUGUACUGUUGUGGAGAAUCCUUGUGUUUGUAGGCCCCAUGUGAUUUUUUAGUGGGCCACCCUUGUUCUCCACUAGCAAUGCAAAAUUUUUCUUCCUUUUGAUAAAGAAGCAAAAAAGAGAUGUACCGUUGUGGAGAAUCCUUGUGUUUGUAGGCCCCAUGUAUUUUUUAGUGGGCCACCCUUGUUCUCCACUAGCAAUGCAAAAUUUUUCUUCCUUUCAGAAUUGUGACGAGGAAGUUGUUUUUUUAAAAAAACAAAAAAUCAAAAAUAAAAAAUUGAAAAACAAAUUGUUGAAAUUAUUUAAUUAUUUUAAAAAAUUUUAUGUGUAAAAAUAUACUUUAACCUUAAAUUAUUUUAGUAUUUUAAUUAAAAUAUUUUUAAAACAUUUUUCAACAAUAAUAUUAACAAAGCUCCGUACACAUUAUAAAAAAUAUUAUUUAUUUACCAGCUUAUCAUUUUAGUAUUUAUUUUUUUUAAAUGAAAUUAAAAAUUGAGAAAAUAAAAAUAUAUCGGCACUUAUUAUCAGACUAAAUUUAUGAGUGCAUCAUUUUAAUAUUUAUUAGCAUUAAACUAAUAAAUUAAUUAAUAAUCAAAUAUUCUAAAUUUUUUAGUAAUUUUAAUAAUAAAUAUAUUUAUAAAUUACAUUGUAUUAGAUAUAUCUAUUAUUUAUCAAUUAUUUAUAAAUAUUUUAAGUAAAUACGAAAUUAUUUAAAAUUUAAAUACUUAUAAAUUUAAAAAUAACUGAUAAUAUUAAGUAUUUAAAACUAAUUUUCGUAAUUUAAGCUUAAUUUCAAGCAUAAAAAUUACACACAGAGUUAGACUCUGAAAUUCACUUUUCUUUCUUUGUUACAGAAUAAUAUUGCUUAGAAUUCCAUCGAUCUAAUUUUCAAACAUCAUAUAUAAUGAUCUGAGAUCCAGAAAUAGGGUUUUUACAAUGGGCUCUGUAAAAUUUAGAAAAAACUUAAAUCUAGAGAGGAGUAUUUCUCCUUUUAUAUGUUUCCUUUUGUCUGCUAGUGAUGUGCCAACAGAACGAGUAUCAUUAGACCACAUGUCCCUGCUACGCUGAUACGGACGUACGAGGGAAUCAGAUCUCUGCCCCAUGCAUAACGGCCUCUGAUUCUCUCUGUGCACGUGUAGGCGGGUCUACGAGGCGGAUGGAUGAAUACUUCUUCGGGUUCUGGGCUGGGCCGGAGGAUAGGAACAAAGCUGGGCCCAAAUGGGAUCGGCCCGAGGUGCAGUGAAGACGAGGCCGGCCUGGUGGAGAAAGCCAGAUGAAGCCCGGUUGUGAGGCUGAGCGGACUGGACCUAGUUCGCGUGAGUGGCUUGAAGAUUUCUAAGUAAUUGACUAUUUUCAUGGAUCUGACCCUAAACUAGAGUGAGGUGAGCCCAAAGGUCAUCAAUAUAUAUUCAAAAAGGCUUAAAAUUAAAAAAAAAAAGCCUAAACUUUAAAUUUUUUAAUUAUCUUUUUUUUUUUUACUUUUAUCAAUUUAGUGAAGGAAAAUGAAAUAUACAUAUAAUCUUAUAUAACUAUAUAUAUCAAUUAAUAAGAAGAAAAAAAAUUCUUUUAAUUAUUUAAAUGAAACAUGCAUAAAAUAUUUUUUAGAAAAAAAAUUAAAUUCUAAUGAUCAGAAAAUAAAAGAUAUUUAUUUAAAAAAUGAAAACUAAAGUUAUUAAUAUUGCUUUGGCUUUAAACCAUCGGACGACGACGUGACACAAAAAGGGCAAGUGGACAAUCAUGCAUGCAAUGAAUCACGUUACCAUGAACUCUAUAUAAAGGGCAGUGCCAUGAGAAGAGCAAACCACACAAGCACUUCAAAAUCUUAACACCAUCGAUCAACAUGGCUUUGGCUUUCAAACACUCUCUUCUUCUGGGGAUGCUCGUCUUCCUCAUAGCCCUGUUGGCUCUUACUGAGCCAGCAAUGGCUGAUGAUGUUGAUGCUGUCCCUGAUAACUUUAACCGUACUUAUUUUCCAGAUGAUUUCAUUUUUGGCACAGCUACUUCUUCUUACCAGGUAUAUUCAGACCUUCAUUUUUAUCUAUGCUCUCCCAUUGUCUAUUUGUUCCCUAGUUUGCAUUAUUUGCUUUGCUUCUUUCUUCUGUUUAUAAAGUUUGCUUAAAAUAAAUAAUAUUCAAUUUUACAUUAGAUCGAAGGUUCAACAAACAUAUCUUGCAGAGGACCAAGUGUCUGGGAUACAUUUACUCAUGAAUAUCCAGGUACGAUUAAAUGCAUAUCAACAUAUGAUAUAUACGUGCAAAAUAUUAAUUAUUUAUAUAUAAUCUUGCAGAAAGGAUAAAGGACCACAGUAAUGGAGAUGUUGCCGUUGAUUUUUACCAUCGAUAUCGGGUAUAAUAGUUAAACUUUUUUUUCUAUUUUCUAAAAAAAUCGUUGUAUUGACAACAAUAAAAUUAAACUGCAGGAGGAUAUCAAAAAUGUGAAGAAUAUGAAUUUUGAUGCAUUCAGAUUUUCAAUUUCAUGGUCUAGAGUUAUACCCAGUAAGUAAUUUAUUAUUACAUGAAUAUUACUCGAUAUAUAGGAAGUACUUUCACACUUGUUUAUAAUAUUAAUUUUAAAAUAUUCAGGUGGAAGAAGAUCUGAAGGAGUGAACGAGGAGGGCAUAAAAUUUUAUGAUGAUGUUAUCAAUGAAGUUCUAAGAAAUGGUGAAAAUCAUCUUCUUUUCUCUUAAAUUUUGUGAAUUAUGGCUUUAAUAUCUGGAAAACGUAUUCAAAAUAGUAAUAAAGGGCCCUGGUGAAGUCAUCAUAUUAUUACAUCAAAUUUCUAAUUUUUCUUUUUGCUGCGAAAAAUUCAGAACUCAUACCAUUUGUUACAAUUUUUCAUUGGGAUACUCCUCAAGCUCUAGAGGAUAAAUAUGGCGGCUUUUUAAGUCGUAAUAUUGUGUAAGUAUAUAAUUUCAACUAAUAUUUUCAAACUACCAAAAGAAAAAUUUAUGUAUCAGUUUUUUGAAUAUAAUGUUCUCAUCUUACAUAAUGUAUAGGGAUGAUUAUUGUGAUUAUGCGGAUCUUCUCUUCGAAAAAUUUGGUAAUCGAGUGAAGUUUUGGAUGACUUUUAAUGAACCGUGGUCUCUUAGUGGAUUUGCCUAUGAUGAUGGAAUUUUUGCUCCCGGUCGAUGUUCAUCUUGGGUGAAUCGUCAAUGUCGUGCUGGAAAUUCAGCUACUGAACCUUAUAUAGUUGCACAUCAUUUACUCCUUGCUCAUUCUGCAGCUGUUAAUUUAUACAGAGAAAAAUAUCAGGUUGGUGAUUUUUGGAUAUAUUAUAUACAUGCGUAGUUUUUUGUCAAAUACAAAUCUAUCUAAAUUAAUUUGACAUUCUUAUUAUAUUGAUUAUAUAGAAAAUCCAAACCGGCGGGACAAUGGGCAAGAUUGGGAUAACACUCUUUACCUUUUGGUUUGAACCAUUAUCCAAUAGAUUAAUUGAUAUAGAAGCAUCCAGGACAGCACUUGAUUUCAUGUUUGGAUUGUAAGUUUUUCAUUCAAAUUAAUCCAGCUUAUAUACAAAAGUGAUAAAUAAUAUAUAUAAUUUUACUAUAUUUUUCAGGUGGAUGGAUCCUUUAACUUAUGGUCGUUAUCCAAGACGUGUACAAGAUUUAGUUGGAGAUAGAUUGCUCACUUUUACUGAAAAAGAAACUAAAAUGCUUAGAAAAUCAUAUGAUUUUCUUGGGUUACAAUAUUAUACUUCAUAUUAUGCAAAACCAAAUGCUCCAAUUGAUCCAGAUUAUAUUAGAUACAAAACUGAUAGUCGAACCACGACAACCGGUAAGCUCAUUCAGAAAUGUGAUAUAUUAAGAGUAGAAAGAAUAUAUAUGUGGGUUGAUAUAAGUAUCCUUUUUGAAAAAGGUUUUCAUUUAUAACAUGUUUUUUUUCCUUACAGCCUAUGACUAUGAUGGUAACCCGAUUGGUCCACAUGUAAGUGUGUAUUAAAAUGAAAUUUAGUGUAAGAAAAAGAAGAAAAUUGCACAUUUAUGGAUGGUAUCACUGACAUCAAAAUAAAAAUUUGCAGGCUUACUCACCUUGGUUUUACAUUUUUCCAAAAGGCAUUCGACAUCUUUUGAACUAUACCAAAGAUACAUAUGAGGAUCCAGUAAUUUAUAUUACUGAGAAUGGUAAAUAAUUUAUUCCUUUUAUUGUAGAAUUACUAUCGAGCUAUUCACAUUAAUAUUGUGCUUCAAUUUAUUUAAAUUUUCCACAUAUUAAUUCAGGGGUUGAUAGAUACAAUAACGAAAGUCGAACUCCUGAGCAAAUGAGAAAUGAUACAUUCAGGAUAAACUAUUAUAAAGAGCACAUGUGGCAUGCAUUGGGAUCCCUCAAGUGAGUCUAAACUCCAAUAUACUAAUAUAAAGUUUUUUUUAAUCAUUCUUAAUCAAUUUUACUAAUAAAAGUUGGUUUUGGCAGGAAUUACAAUGUUAAUCUCAAAGGUUACUUUGCAUGGUCAUAUUUGGACAACUUCGAGUGGAACAUCGGUUAUACUUCAAGAUUUGGUUUAUACUAUGUUGACUAUCAUGAUCACUUGAAAAGAAUGCCCAAAGAUUCCGCUAACUGGUUCAAGCAUAAGUUCCUGAAGAGCCCUUUGAAGAUUACUUCACAGGAUUCAAGGGAAGUUGGCAAAUACUACAUAAUGUAGUCUUGGUUGAGGUGCCAAAAUUAAAGAGAUAUGGCUUGUGUGUGUCUUGCAAUGAAAUAAUAUGAUUGGGCUACUUCUUAGCUCCAAUGACAUAGCUAGCUUGUGUGGUAAUAGUUUUGUGUGUCUUUGUCUAGCAAUAUUAAAUAACAUCAUUGAGCUUACUGUGAAGCUCCAAUGACGGGUUGUGUUGUAAUAUAUUUUUGAAAUGAAUGAGGAGUUCUUAUCUCCUUUUAAGGAAUUUUAUUAAUAUUAUCAGCCUUUGUAUGGAUGAAUUUUAUUAACAUUUUUUUUUAAGUUUACUGCAAAAAAAACUAAAUAUUUAGAACAAUUGAUAUUUAUAUUUUAAAUUUUAAAUUUUAAAUAAUAAAACUAAAUGUUUUUAAUUUUUCACAAUUAUAAUAAAAAAAUUAAAUUAAAUUUGAAAUAAAAGUAACGGUAAAUUAUAAUAUAAUCUCUAAAAUUUUAUUAAUUAAGUAAAACUUUAUGUAUUAUAUUGUAAUUUAUUGUUAAUUUUUCAAAUUUCAAUUUAAUAUUUUAAUUAUAAUUGUGAUAAAUUGAAAAGGUUUAAUUUUAUUAUGCAAAAUUUAAAAUUUUAGAUAUGAAUGUAUAUUAUUACCAAUAUUUAAAUUUUUUAUUCAAUAAACUUUUUUUAAUAUUGUAGUUACACCAUAUAAAAUAAGCUAUUUUCUUAAAAUAAUAAUGUGUUUAAAAAAUAUUUUUUAUGAAAUAUAUAGAGGGUAAUGUUAUAUUUAAUUUUUAGAUUAUGUUUUAUUCAAAGGUAGACAGCUCCAAUUAUAAAAAAUAUAUAGUUUUUUUUUUUCUAUAAUUUUUAUUUAUCUCUUUUUUUUAUUGCUUUAAAAUUAUUGCUAUUUUUUUAUAUUAUACAUGAUUAACAUAUAAAUUAACUAUUAUAAUUUUAUUUUAUUUAAUCAAAUAAAAAUAAUUUAUUUAUAUUAAACUUUUAUAUGAAUUUAGUAAAAGUAAUUCUCAAGGGACAUCAAGUACAAGUCAUGUCCUAAUCACAGGGAUAAAAUAAUUGCGAUUCACAUCCAUUCAUCAAUAAUGGUCCUUGUUUACUCGAUAAAUAAUAAUGUAUUUUUUUCAGGACGGUUAUUUAAUAAAUUUGAUUUAAAAUUAAAUUAAAUUGAAUAAGUUAAAAGUUAAAAUUUUAAUAUUUAUAAAAAUUGAAUUAAUUUUGAAUAAAAUUUAAAUUAAAUUAAAUCAAUUUAAUUUAAUUUAAUUCGAUUUCAUUUGAUUAGUUAAAUUUUUUAAUAAUUUUUUUUAUUUUUAAUAUUUUAAAAUUUAAUUAAAAUUUUUUAAUUUUUAAUUAUAGUCUAAUCUUUUAUAUUAUUAAAAAUAAUAUAUUAUUAUUAUUAAUCGGUUCAGUUUAAUUUUUUAAUUUUUUUAUAAAAAUUAAAUCAAACCGGCUAAAAUUUUUAAAAUUAUAAAAUUCAAUUGAGUGGAAAUUUAAAUCUAAGCAAAAUGCCUUACAUUCUUAGAGGGAAAAUUUUGAGGGAGCAGGAUGGGUGCAGGACAAGGAGGAAAAUAUAGAUUUUUUUUCAUUUUUUUAAGAUAAAUGAAAAAUAAAAUCUCAAAUAAAAAUAAAUUUAUUUUUAUUGUAUAUAAAAAAAAUAGUUUUAGUUAAUUCCUAUUUAUCAUCUUGGAAAUUUACAUAAAUAAUUGAAAGGUAUAUAUAUGAUUUUAUAAAUUUUCUUUAAAUUGAAAAAAAAUAAAUAGAAAAAAAUUAUUUUCAAACACAAAGAAUAGUUAUUCUUUUUCGAUUUUUUUUUAUUUAUUUCAUUCCUGUCCCAUAUAAAAUAUGGGUAAUUUUUAUCUGUAAUAACUGAAUUUUAAUACUUGUUUUAUUGUAAUUAUUAAAUUUAAUUUUUUUUUCAUAAAAAGCAUUAAUUUUUUAUUUGAACUUCAAAUGGUAAAUCUCGUCAGAAUUUAAUAGAAUCUCUAAUUGGAUUUUUACAUCGACUAAUUUUACUUAAAAGAAUUUACCAUGUGAGAUUAUAAAUAUCUUUCUAAUCUACUGGGUAAUCCGUCUCUAUCUAAAUUGAAUAAUAAGAUGAAGCCAGAGCUGACUUCACAAGUGUGAGGAUGUAGCUCAAAUGGUAGAGCGCUCGCUUUGCAUGCGAGAGGCACGGGGUUCGAUCCCCCGCAUCUCCAGUGCUUUUUAACAGCGAAGAAGCCCAGCCCAGCCCAGCCCAUGUCACGUGCCAAUUGAGGCUUUCAUGAGCCCAGUUUUUCUAGAGCUUCAAAAACCACUUAAAUUUCAGGCUUUUCGUUUCUUUUUUUUUGUCAAAUACACUGGCUUCGCUGAAUUUCCUGCAACUCUCUAUAAAUCUUCACAUGAAAACAUUGUUUUUGAGAUUGAGAAUUCACAAUCCACAUUAGAAAAAAGUUAAAAGUAUUCUCAAUGUCAAGAGAAAUUCUAAAAGAAAGCAGUGAGUCAUUUCAUAAGGCCACAACCAGCUGGGGUGAUGCAUAAUAAUAUAACUGAGAGUAAACUCAUGGAAGGUAGCUGUCUCUUUCAUAUCUCAGCAGUGGAGAUGUCUAUUUUCUGCCAUAUAUAUAUAAAUAUAAAGGCACUUGAUAUCUGCUUUUGUGCAGACAAUACAGUCGCUCACUAUUUUGUCCACAAAAUGAUGCAUUUUGGAUAAAUUUUUUCUGUAAAAGAGUACGUGAAGGAAAAUGAUGAUUUCCUUUCAUUUCUUUUCUUUUUACUUUCUUUGAUUUUCAUGUGUCCAUUGAAUGUAAGGAUAAAUGUAAAAAUUUUCCCGGAAAGAAAGAGGGAGCAAAAUAUAUACAAAUGUUAAAAAGUAGGAGUGAAGACAAUUUUUAGCAGAAGUGAUAGUUUGGCGGACAGAUUUUUAGCAGAAGAAAACAAUAAUGGCGGACCCAAAAAUACUGACAUUUUUAUGGGUUGUUUAUUAUGGAAAAUUUUGAACUGCAGUGCAGUAUGGACCAGAACUUUGGAUAAGCCCUUUUUUUCUGCAUUAAAAAAGCUUGCAGCAGACAGACAGAGAGAGACCUGCAAUCUGUUAAAUUAAUUAAUUAGUAUCUGCAACUCCAAAAUCCCACAGCUUCCAUUUUUUUCAUAUAAUUAAACUUAUCAAACUUUCAACUUUAUUCAACACAGAGGUGUUAUGGCUUAUAAUAAUCUUUUUUUUCUUUGUUGAAGUGAAGUGGGUGUCAUAACCGAUAAAAGAAUGAGAGGUUUAUAAUUUAGUAUUUAAUUAUUAUUUUUAUUAAUAAAUUAUUAUCUAAAUUUUUAAAAUUUAUUAUAAUAUUUUUAUUUUUUUCUCAAUUAAAUAAUUAUUUCAUUUUAUCUAUUUUUAUCGUUAAAAAUAUAGCAAAAAAUUAAAUUACCAUCUAUAUUCUCGUACUCCUACCCCUUACCCUCUUCUUCUUUCUCUUCUCCUCCUUCUCCUUCUCCUUCUCCUUUUUUUAUUUUUUUUCUUCAUUUUUUUUCUUUAAGAAAAGAAAAAGAAUGUGCGGCACUUAAUUUGAACACCUUCAAAUUAAGUCAGUCUUAAGAAUCACCCGAUUAUUCUGUGAACAUGAAUACUCUGAUUAGUCAAAAUUAUAUAAGCGAACUACGAAGCCAACAUACUGCAUUCCAUUAGAAGUCUCACAGUAAGCAUAAAAGAUAAGAACUGAACAUAAGAAUUCAUAAACGGAUUACUUAUUUUAUUACAGGGAUAAAAUAGUAAUUAUACAUUAUCAUUAAUGUAAUCGUUAUAAUAAUUCUUAUAUUCCCUUGUAGACAGGGGGACGGUCUAUAAGGAGUGAAGGCACAACUUGGACUUUCAUAUUUUUCUUCAUUAUCAUCUCUCCUAAAUUUUUUUCUUUUUUUAUGAGAAAAAAAAGAUUAUUUUAUUAAUAAAAAAAAUAUAAAGAUAUUUCUGAAAAAAAAUAAAAAUAUUUUAAUAGAUUUAAAAAAAAUAAAAAUAUUUUAAUAAAUAUAAAAAUUUACUUGUUAAUAAUGACAAUACUUAUAAAUUAAAUAAAAAUUGAGAAUAAAAUUAAAUUUUAAUAAUUUUUUCUUUUAUUUUUUAUUUAUUUUUAAUAAAAAAAUAAAAUAAUUAUUUUACGUAAAUAAAAAAAUAUAAAUAUUUUAAUAAACUUUUAAAAAUAUAAAAAUUAAUUUAAUAAUAAUAAUAAUAAUAAUACACACAUAUUAGAUAAUAAAUUUUCUAAAAAAAACUAAAAUGGCAGCAAUAACGGACUAUCCAUCACUUUCGCAAUCAAUCAGGGGGAGAAAACGAAGGAAAAAAUUUUACCAGGAAAAGUGAUGUCAUAGCAGUAUGUGAACAGUGAGUUCCAAUCAUGGCUUUUGGAUUGUAGUUCUCUUCUGUAUACAUCCAUUGCUGGUCCUCCCCCCCUGUUUUUCAACUUUUCUUUUGGCCACCUUCUUUCUUGUCCACAGAAUUGUUUCUUUCGCUCUUCUUAGGGUUUAUACUUAAUUUAUUAUAUAUAUAGUAAUUUUAUAUUAUCCUUUUUUAGUUUUUAAUAUAUUUAAUAUUUAAAUUUAUUAUUUCCUUAAUUUUAUACUAUAAAUUUAUUUUUUAAUAUUUAUAUGUAAGUCAAAAUUUAAAUUUUUAUUAAUAGUAAAUUAAUUUAAAUAAUAAUAUUAUUAUAGGUUUAAAAUUUAAAUUUAAUUAUAAAAUCAUUAUUCACUUAUAAAUUUAAACAUAUAAAAUUAAAAUUUUAUUAACUUUAAAUUAAUUUAAAUAAUAAAAUCAUUAUCUAUUUUAAAAUUUAUGUUUAGUUAUAUACUUGUAAAUAAUUAGAUAGUUGUAGAUUACAUAAUAUUAUUUAUAAUUGAGAUUUUUAAAUGUUAAAAUUUAUUCAAAUUCAAUAACUUAUUAGUAUAUAAUAAGUAAUUUAAUUCUUCUAAAUUUGAAACUAAUUAAUAUAAAUUAUUAAUAUUAUUUUUAUAUUUUAUUAAAUUUAAUCAUUAAUUAAAAUUUAUUUUUCUUUUCUUGAUUCAAUAAAAUAAGAAGUAAAACAAAUCAUGCAAAUUGAGAUUGUGUUCAUUAAUUAGAAAAAUCAUUUAUUUUAUUAUUUAUUGUUUGAAUAUAUAAUAAAUACGCGAAUUUUUUAAAUUAAUUUCUAAUUAAUUAAUUAUAUAUAAAUUUAAUUAAUAAAGGCGAUUUAUUUGAAUUAAAUCUACUAACUUCUUAACUAAACUAAUAUGUUAAUUACUGUCUGGAGCUUUCCAUGUUUUGGACUAUAGGUUUACCCAAUAUUAUAAUUUUUCAGUCCGAAAAUUUGUCAAUUCAGGCUUUUUUCAUUCAUUUUCUUAAUUCUUUUUUAAAAAUCAGUUCAAAAUCAUAUUUUAAGUGAAAAUUAAUUAUUUAUAUCUAAAUCAUAGAAUUUAAUAAGAUAAAAGUGAUAAAUUUUACAAUUCAUCAUAAAAUUAUCAUCUACUUUAAAAAUUAAAUUUUAAAAAAUAAAAUUAUUAACUAUAUAAAUAAUUAAAUAUUAUUAUAAAUAAUUUAAAAUUUUAAAAAUAUUACGAGUAAUCCCAUUAUUCCACAUUCUUUUCACUUUUAUGUAUAGUACAGAUUAAUUUUAAUAAUUAAUAUUAAAUUAUAUUAUGCAUUAUUAAUAUUAAAGACAAAAAUAUUUUAAUUAUUUCAUAUAAUAUUAACCGGAGAAUAAUUAAUUCAGUAUAUCAAUUUAUAUUAAUUUAAAUUAAUUUGAGAGGUCUAAAUUUAUCGUUUUAAAUAAUAAAGAUUUUCCAUUUAUUAAGAUGAUUUAGUUUACUUAGUAUGAAUUGAUUAAUGAAUUGAAAAUAUAGAAAUAUGAAUAAAAAGCACAAAUUAAUUUCAAAUUUUACUAGAAAAUUCAGUAUAAUCAGCUCCAUAAUAUGGAUGCUAGCAGGCUUUACUCAUGCAAAUUAUGUUAUUAAAUUAUUAGGGUUUGAUUUUUUUUUUUAUUAAAACACUAAUUUAAAAUUAUUUAUUUUAAAUAUAAAUUAGAUUGACAUGAGAGAGAGAGGAAAUAAGACAUGGUUAUUUGAUAUGGUGAUGAUAUAGAGGCAUAGUGUUUGGUGAUAUAGAAAAACUAUAUUGAAAGUAGAGAUUCAAACAAAAAGGCUUCAUUUCCAAUUCUUCAUUCAUACACACACUCGUGCAAUCUCGGAAACACAAAACUAUUAAGACUUGGACUUGGUCAAAUUAAUAACUUUUUUUUUCAAAAAAAAAAAAAUCUCUAUACUUAUAUAAAAAUAAAUCUGUUACAGAAUUAUACAUAAAUUUAAAAUUUUGAUUUGGCAAUUAAAUGGAAAAUAAUAAAAACUAUUCCAUCAUAAUUUUGGCCGUUUAAGCAUUAAAAAUUUAAAAAACAUUAGUUUAAAAUAAAAUAAUAAAAUAAUAUAUUUUUUAUAAGAGCUUUAGAUAUUUUUUUCUCAUAUUUUUUAAAUAAAAAAAAUUUUAUUCAAAUUUAAUAAAAAAACAUCAUCGAUAACUAUUUAUAGGGUAUGCAUUCGAUCAGUUCGGUUUAAAAUCGAACCGAACUGAAUAAAUCAAAAAUUAAAAUUUUAAUAUUUAUAAAAAUUGAAUCGAAUUGAUUUGAUUAUAAAUUAAAUCAAACCAGUCUGAUUCAGUUUGAUUUAGUUCGAUUUAAAUUUUUAAUAAAUUUUUAUUUUUUAUAUUUUAUUUUUAGUAUUUUAAAAUUUAAUUAAAAUAUUUUAAUCUUAAUAUAAUCUGAUUUCUCGAAAAUAAUAUAUUAUUAUAACUAAUUGAUUCAGUUCGAUUUUUUAUUUUUUAUUUUUUUUAUUAAAAUCAAAUCGAAUAAAAAUAAUUAAAAAUUUUAAAAUUAAAAACUGAAUCGAAUUAAGAUGAAUAAAAAAUCGAACUGCAUUUUUAAAUCAAUUCAAUUUGAUCAUUUUUUUGAUUUAAAUUGAAUACUGUUGACCUCUAAGUACUUGAAAGCAAUUUAACACAAAACAUUAAAAAAAUAAAAGAAUUUGAAUUUAACAUUUAUAAAUAUUUUAUGUUUAAAAUAAAAUAUUUUUGAUCUAGAAGCUGGUCAGAUUGUAAAAUACUAUGGUUUGAUUCAUCCAAAACGUCUUAGAAACUAGCAAAUGAAAUCCAAGAAGUAUAAAUAGAUUCAUUUAAUUAAACGCUUAACCUAAGUUUUGUAGAUAUAGAGAACGUGAAUUAUUUGGGAAAUGCAAUUUGUUAUUUUUCACAAUCCCUUCAUUACUAUUUUAUUUAUUUAUUUAUUUAUUUUAUAAUUUGGGUGGUGGUCAAACUUAGCUGCAAACAAAGAAGUGUUAAUUAAAAAUUAUUAAGUAAUUAAUUAUGGUUUGAGAAAAAUCAAAUCACAAUACCCCUCACUAAAUUUUAUAUACUUGAGAAUAUGAAAUGGGUUUGAAAUUUGAGCUCUGUUUGUAAAGUCUUAGCUAGCUUCCAUUUUCGAGAAGCUACGUGCAGUGCAGUGAUUUCUUUAAUAGUAAUUUAGCCACGGACCAUAUUCAUAUGCAUACAUACAUCAAUAACUUCUAUGCAUGCAUAUAUACUUCCAUGCCCAUACAUCCUUGAGUAGAUACGUACUUUUUUUCUUUCCAUAAUUUUUUUACACUUCUUUUAUAAAUAUUAAAAAAAUAUUUUUUUUCAUUGACAUUUUAAUUAUAUUAUUUUUAAAAUAUUAAAUUUCAUUAAAUAUUAAAAAAAAUUUUAAAAAAUCUUUUAAAACUAAAAUAAAAUUAAGAGAAAAAUACAACGCAAUAUUAUAUGUGAUUUUAUCAAUUUUUUAUUUUAAAAUUUAUAUUUUAAUUUAUAUUAAAAUAAUACCUGUAAUAUUAAAUAACGGUAAUUUUUAAAUUUUAUUAAAAUUGUUAAUAUGAAAAUCAUACAUCAAAAUAUUAAUUUAAUAUAAAUUAAAUUAUAAAUUUUAAAAUAAAAAAUAUAAAAUUACAUAAUAUUUUAAUUAAUAUUUAUAUUUUAUUUGUUACGAAAUCAAGAAUUUAAUGCUAUUUAUUAUGACAUGAUAUUAUAAAUAUUAUUUUAAUAUAAAUUAAAUUAAAGAUUCUCAAGUUGUUUUUAUACUUUUUUUAAAAUUAAAUUAAAUUAUAAUCCAUUCAUAUGUUACUCCCUCAUUUCUAUCAUUUUUAUACACUUUAUUUUUAACAUAUAUUUAAAAAUAUAAUUUUUUUAUUAUAACUAUUUUAAAUAUAUUAAGUUUUAUUAAAUAUUAAGUAAUGUUUUGAAAAAUUUCUUAAAAACAAUAUAAAAUUAAAUAGUAUUAUAAUAAUUAAUUUAUAUAUUAUAUAGUCUAAAAAAGAAAAUGAUACUAAUUUUAAGAUAAUAAAAAAAUAAAAUGAAGGUAAUAUUAUAAUGUAAGAAAAAAGUGAAUAAUAAUUUUAAAAAGAAAAUAAAUAAAAAUUAUAAGAUAAAAAAACUUAUAUUUUGUAAUAAUACUUAAAAGCAAUUUGCAACUCUUAUUUACAAAAACUUUAAAAUUAUUCAAAUUCAAAUAAUUAUACAAAAAUAAAAUAUUUUAAAUUUUUUGGAAUCAGUUUGAUGACUUCAAUGAUUUUUGGUCAACGAAAAUCAAUUCAUUUUGAUUUACUCAAUUAUCUUGAAUUUUAAUUCAAAAAUUAUAUUUUAACAUAAAAACACAUUGUAAUCAAUAGAUUAAUAUGAAACUAAAGCAAUUCGAUAAAUUAUCUGAAUCGAUUCAUAAUUUAAAAUUAGUGAUCAAACGUAAAUCUACUUGAAAAUAAAUAAAUAACUCAAAAUUUAAAAUUUUCUAAAUAACAUUCUCGACUAAUUAAUAAUAGCAUUAUCUAGAAAUAUAAUUUUAUAAUUCAUCUUAAAAUAAAUUAACACUUUCUUUCUUUUGUUUUUUUCUUGGUGUUGUAUUUCAGCAAAUUUAAAGUUAAAUCACAUGAUCAAUAUCUACGUUAACAUGUGGCCUGAAAUUGAAGGAUUAGUUCCCAUUGCAUCACCCAUUUAAACGCACACCAACAUUUCCCGGUGUUUUCGGCUUUUUUUUCUCAACCCUUUUCCCUUUCUCUUUUCUUUUCCUUUAUUCAGUAUAAUUUAUUUUAUAAAAAAAAUGAAUAAAUUUUUAUAAAAAUAUAUCUAAAUUUAUUUUAUAAAAAUAUAAAAAUUUUAUAAAUUAAGAAAAAUAAUAAAUUCUUUUAUUUUAAAUAAAAAAUUUAUUGUAAAAUUUUUAUUUUAAAUAAUAUUAUUAUUUUUCGCAAGAAGUUCUCCUUUUUGGAAAAAUCUAGGUUCUUCUACAAUGUUAACUAAAAACAAAUUUGAGAAAGACAUUUCCCUUACGCACACAACACUUUUGAUUGAAUUCUAACUUGACAUUAUUAUGCAUAUGCUUGUUCAGCACUAUUAUGUUCAGUGUAUUAUAAUAAAUUUAUACUGGAAAAUUUCAGAUUUUUAAAAAUAAAAAAAUUAAAAUUGUAUAUAAUAGUCGGUAUAAAUUAUUAAAUAAUUUAAAUUAAUUAUUUUGAGUCAGUAAAAUAUAUUAUAUAAUUUAAUUUUUUAUUAUAUUUUUAUAAAAUUAAAGAAUUUAAUAAUUACAUCAUAAAUCUCAAAUAAAAUGGAAAAAUGACUUUAUAAAUGAAGAUAGUCGGCCGAUCAAUUACAUCCAUAACUUUAGUACAUCAUAGUGCUCGUUAAGCUUUGAUUGUCAAAACUUCUUUCUUAGACACAUAACUUUGUAUUUCCCUUUCAUUUUCAUGCCAGUAUUUACUCAACACGUGUCACAUAUAAAAUGCAUAAUUAUUUAUUGGAAUUUCAUUUUUUAACUUCAAUGUGUCUGCCUAAUGUGAUGGCCACGUGUCACAAUUGUGUUAAUCCUGGAAAGCUUGAAGGAGUGGAUUCACAGAAGGUGACACUUACUCAAGAGUUAACAUCAAACGAGGAAGAUGACAAAAAUUGAAAAGGACAUUGUCUAUGACUAUGAAAUAUCAUGAGAUGUUUACACUUACCUAGCAUUAUUAAAGUAUUUUGAAAAGUAUUCGAUUAGGGUUUUAAUUCAUUGAUACUGAAGUCGUGUUUAAAAUUAAAAUUUUUUAAAUUUAAAUCGAUUAUAUAUAAAAUAAUAUUUUGAAAAGCAGAAUGAGACCUUUAAGAAUAAAUUUAAUUACUAUUUAGCAUGUGAUUGGUGAAUUAAAGUACUUAAACAUUGGACAAAGUACUAAUUUAUCUGUCUGAGAUUUUGGCUUAAUUGUUGCCUUUUAUUGAGCUAGCAAGGCAAUGUUGCUAUAUAUCAUGAUGUGACUUACAAGUUUAUAUACAUGAAGCUCAUAAAUUUGUCAAUUAGUAUCUUUGCCCUAUUUUGCCUUAUUAUCUCUAUUUUUAUAUGUAUAUUUAUAACAUUAAACGAUUAGUUUUAGCAUAUUUAAAUAAUUAAUCAAACGAUAUUAAUUAAAAUUUUUGAUAAAAUUUAAUUAAUUUUUUAUCAAUUUGCAAUGCAUAUGAAAAAUGCAAGAUCAUGCUCUUAAUAUUAUUAGAGAAAUAAAUUUAUAAUACUUUAAAUUGAAUAAUUUAUUUUAAUUUUAUUAUAAUUUCUUUAAUUGAAUAACUCACAAGAGAUUUAAUUUCAAAACCCAAUUAGCAAAAUUGCUUUUCAUGUUGUGUUGACUUUAGUUUUGUUUUGAAAUGUCAUAACAUUGAAAAAACACAAAAAUUAAAAGUGAAUAUUCUAAAAGAAAUAAAUAGAGUAACUCUCAAUAUCAAAAUUUCAUGAAGAUUUAGAGAUAUAAGGAAAUCAAUUAGGCUAUCCUCUAAUUGGCUUGAAAAUAAUUUUUAAUUAUCAUAAGAGUUUAAAAGCUUAAAGCCAUGCAUGUACAUAUCAAACACAAUGCACACCCACCAAAGCGAUUGCCGGAUGGGUUACUUGUUUGCUUCAAGCAAGAUAUAGAGAACAGUUAAAAUAUUACAGAAUGUUUCCUCUCCUUCUCUCUCUAUCUCUCUCUCUUCCUCUUGUGUGUGUGGUGCAAUGUUUUCUUGACAGACAACCUGCUAUCUAGUCUAAUCUAUGACUUUGUGUCUUUUGCCUUUUUUUUUUUUUUUUUUCUUACCACUUUCAUCUUAAUUUGCUCUCAGGUAUAAUUUCUUGACUUCUUCACUGUGAACCAUCACUCUCUCUCUCUCUCUCUCUCUGUUUGUUUAUUUAUACCAUUACCCAUACAGCCAAAGUGCCAAAUCAAGAAUCUCUCAACUCUUCUUUUGUUCUCUUGCAUCUUUCACACCAUGGCAGACCCUUGCUCUAAUCUUUUCAAUGGCUGGUUCAACUUUAUCCCUAUUCAUUCUAACUACACUUCUGUUUUCACUUCUUACUCAAAUCCCCCUCCUUACAAUUUCAAUCUCUACUCAAACAACCACCUCUUCAACAACAAAUCUCCCAUUCAAUAUCAAACCUAUCAUCCUCCUCCUCCUCCUCAGAAGGAAGCUCCUCCUCCAUUAAUAGAGUACUUGACUCCUCCAAGACAACAAGAAGAGAUAAGUCAUGAAUCCUCUAGUAAUAAUUCCAUGGAAGAUGACAAGAACAUGAAUAAGAAAGAUGCUGAUGAUGAUGAUGAUCAUGCGACUGUAGCUCUACAUAUAGGGCUUCCUAGCCAUAGUUCUAAUCUGGGUUCUAGGGUUUUUUCCCACCCAUCAACAGAAGAAGGGAGUAGUGCAGUUUCAGAAGGGUACCCUUUGCAGAAACUAAGCAAAGGUCAAUAUUGGAUCCCUACACCUUCUCAGAUUCUUAUUGGUCCUACUCAGUUUUCAUGUCCUGUUUGCUUCAAGACUUUCAACAGAUACAACAACUUGCAGGUAUGCCCCCAUUGCUCCAUUGCCCCAUUGCAUGAAACAUGUCUCUUGUUACUUGUCAAUCUCGUUUUUCUUUACUCUCUCUACUUUCUUUUGAGCUGGAUCUGAUAAUUUCCUUUUCUAUUGUAGCAUCUCUCUCUUCUUGAUUUAACUAGAUUUUUAUUACAUACGUAAUUUGAAGAUUACACAUGUUGUUUUAAAGUAAAACCUAGAAGUUAUGAACUUAAAACUUGAUCAGUUGGGUCUUGAUUUGGAGUCUGCAAAAAGAAGUAAAACCUGCAAAAAAGCACAGUGCUUCAAGGUUCUUUAGCAGUAGCUAGCUGAACUUAAUAAAAAGUUGGCCUCAGCUUUUAUCUGCACUCUUCAGUCUGAAAAAUUACUGUUGAAUGGUCGUAGCUACAUUACUAUUCCUCUUCCAUGUCUGUGAAUAGUACAACAUCUGGAUUCAGACUUUUUCCACCAAAACCUUGGCUUCUAAUCUGAACACUACUGUACUCUUCGUAAUUAAUAGACGCAUUGUCUGGUGAACUAACAUAUGCUCUCAUGUUUGAUUGUAAUAAAUCCUGUAGUUCUGUCCUAAAUUGACAACAAUUAAAUUACAAACCUGCCUGUUCCUCUUACAGUCCCAUGAAACUUGUACUAUCACAAAUUGUUUAGCAGUUUUCAGCUUAUUUUAAAAGAUUGUUUUGCAUGUCUAUAUGUAUUAGCUUCUUGUUUUUUUCUUUCAUUUCGUUAGUUAUGGUUAAGACGAGCAUACGAAAUCUCACAAAUUUAAAAUACCCUCUAGUUAUUCAUAGCAGCUUAAUUUUAAUUUAAAAUAAUCAAACUUAUUAGCUUUUGAGUUUCCCACGUGAAAUAAGGACCCAUGUGGGACUUUUUUUUAUGAUCCUUAGCUUUCUCAUGAAUUUCCCCUCCCUCUUUCUCUCUUACACUCAUUUCCCACUAAAAUUUUUUCUCAAUUAGUUAUGGAGAGGAUGUUGAAAUUAACUUUUGUUUUGGGAAUUAAAAACUAGGGUUUCUUGCUGUUGUACACUUUUAAUAGUGAUUCUUUUCGACUAAAAUUUAAUCACAAAAGUCUCUUUUGUUAUAGUAUAGCUAGUCUCUUUUAUCCAUAAAAGAAUUAAUUUUUUUAAUGAUAGAAAGAUCAUUUACAAAAUACCAAGUUUUUUUAAAAAAUUUUGGCACCAUAUUGUUAGGGUUUGAAGAUAGACACUUGAUCACUAGCUCCACAACUCCAAUGGUCCCCUCUCUCUCUCUCUCACACACUAAAUAUGGGUUCUAUCCAUUAUUGCAGAUGCAUAUGUGGGGACAUGGAUCUCAGUACAGAAAAGGACCUGACUCAUUAAGAGGAACCCAACCAACAGGAAUGCUAAGGCUCCCUUGCUAUUGCUGUGCACCAGGGUGCAAACACAACAUUGAUCACCCACGAGCAAGACCACUCAAAGACUUUAGAACCCUCCAAACUCACUACAAGAGAAAACAUGGAAUCAAACCUUUUAUGUGCAGAAAAUGUAGCAAGCCAUUUGCUGUUAAAGGUGACUGGAGAACCCAUGAAAAGAAUUGUGGCAAAAUCUGGUAUUGUAUUUGUGGGUCUGAUUUUAAGCACAAGAGGUCUCUCAAAGAUCACAUCAAGGCCUUUGGUCAUGGCCAUGCAGCUGUUGGUAUUGAUAAUUCUUUUGAAGAAGAUGAUGACUUAGCUUCUGAACUUGAACAUGAAGAGGAGUCAUCACCCUGAAAUUUUUCACCAUGUGAGAGGAAAAUGGGGUUAUAUGUAUCAAUGUGUGGUUUACUAUAUAUAGUUUGUUCAAGCUUGGUAACUUGGGUAAUCCUUUUGCUUUGCUUAUGUAUCUUCCUUUCUGGGAAUAUGUUAUUUUCCAAGUGAUUAUAUCAAUUAGGGCAAAAAUAUGUAAAAAAGAAAUGUAUAUUUAAUAAAAUAAGAACUGCCAAGUUUCUCUUUUUGUUUGUUUCUUUGCCCUUUCCAUUCACAAGGAGAAUAAUGAAUAGAUUACAUGUUAUCAAUCGACUAAAUUCGACUUGAUAUGAGACUUUGAUAUGAGAGUUGAAUUUAAUAUCAAAAGAUAAAAUGGAAUGACACAUAUUUAUUUAUUUUUAUUUAAAAAUAUUGAUUUUGAAUUUCGAAUAUGAAAUACUUUAAAAACUUAAAAAAAUAAUUUGUUUUUAGUGCAAAUCCGAAUUAACCAAGCAAGUGAAUUUCGAAUAUUGGAUGGCUUAUGUAAAAAACAGUAUAUCAAAAUGCGUAAAAACAAUAAUUUGAAAUCUAUUAUAAUUAUUCAUAUUUUAACGAUAGAUAAAAAUUUAUGGCUAAAAUUAUAAUUUUAUUAAAUGUUAAGUAAAAUUUUUUAUUAAAAUAUAUUAUUAUAUAUAUAUAGUAAAAAAAUAAAAUUUUCAUUGUAACAAUUUUAAAAUAUUAUCAAAUUAUUAUUUUAAUACUAUUAAAAUAAUAAUUUUAUAAACGUUAUUGAGAUACUGUGGUGUAAAGCCUAAAAUGUAAUAGUGAUAUACAUAAAUUUAUAUAAAUAUUUAAUCUAAUAAUCAUUAGUAUUGAGUUUUUUUCUCAUAUAUAUAAGCUUUAUUUUUCUGCCGCGAAUAAAAUUUCUUUUAACUGUUAUAUUAUAAUUUGAUUAUAUUUACCAUUUUGUUGUAAAUAAUAAAUUAAUACGUAAAUAUUUAAUCUAAUAAUUAUCUAUUUCAUUAUCGUAUAUAAACUCGAGCAUCCAUGGCCGCACACGUUUUCUUCUACUAUUAUACUAUAAUUUGAAUAUAUUUUCCUUUUGUCAACCUUAUUAUCAUUACCUUUGAAUCCAACAUCCUUAUACAAUUAUUUGGAAGGACACCUCUUCUCUAUACAUGAUGAAGCCUUCAUUUAAACUCUAGCAUGUGUAUCUUUUGUCAUCAAGUUAGAACACUAGUUGCCCUACGUUACAAUUUCUUGUUUCUUACAUUAUGAACAAAAUAAUUUCUCAAACUCUAUGAUUCACUUCCUAAUUUCCCUAUGAUGGACGGAUGAGAUGGGCAGAAAAGCAUAAAAAGUUGGCCCAAGUUCUCUGAUCAUCUCCAAAACUUGACAAGACAAAAUUAAACGUAUGUCAUAUUCAAACUGUGAAGAAGAAGCAUUGCUUGAGGGGUAGUGGUGUAAUGCCCUUUACCCUGAAAAAGAUAACUCCCACAACUGCUUGCUAUUUCCAUGGCGACUCCACAGGUAUAUUUCUUAUUUUCUCUCUCUCAUCCACUCAUUAAUGGGUUCCUUUCUUCUAAUCUUCUGCUCAUUAUACUGUUAAAUUAAUCUAUGUCUUUCAUUCUAAACACCAAUUUUGUCGUUUUAUUAAUUGGUUUGGUUUGUUUUGUAUGAUUCCAAAGUAUGCCUAUUUGUUCCCAUGUCAAAAUCAUUAUAAAAGCAGAAUCUUUGAUUUUGUGCUGAAAAGCAUUAUUCCUCUCAAUUUUAUGAGGGUAUAUUGGUUCAGACAAAACUAGAGGAGAAUGUUAGAAUUUCUGUUCUUUAUUGGAGAGUAAUUCUCCCUUCUCUCACAAAAGCUCUGCUCUAAACUUAAGGGAUCUGAAUCUUCAUAGUAAAUCUGAAUUUCCAAUAGGCAUUCCCUUCUGCUCUGAACUUCGUGGUUUUGAAACUAAAUUGUGUACCAAAAUUCUCAGGUUUUAAUUGUUGGGAUGUCCUCUUUGCCAGCUCUGCUCUAAAAUUAAUGUGCUUUGAACCUUAAUUUUAUUGCAAAAAUCCCAAGUUUUGAAGGUUUAGAUGUCUCCUUGGCCUUUUCCCCUAAAAAGUCUUCAACUUUAAGCGCUCUUAUAUUCCAACUUCCCCAUAAUCUUCCAUAACACAUCCGAGACAGCAAUGGAUUCUCUGCCCUGUAGAGAUGGAGGGCCAGAAGUUUUGAGAAUUCAAGGGAGAUUUAUGAUAAAUCUCAAGUGGAAGUGUAGUGAUGUAUGCAGCUGAGGCAUCUAUGAGGUGUAAGCCUCCCAAAAGGCAUUCCCUUAUGCUCUAAACUGAAUGGGUUUUGAACCUUAAUUGCAUAACAAAAGUCACAAAUUUUGGGGACUCUAGAAAGUCUUAAACUUUGAAAGCCAUUCCAUGUAAACUACUAAGGUCCUGGUGCUUUCUACAUUAUCUGUUGCUCUGAAGUGAUUGUUAUAAAUGAAUGAGAAGAGUAAUAGACUAAAUACUGGAAGUACCAAUUAGAAGAAAAGAUGGAGCUGCUGGUGCUGAGUAUGAUAAAAUGCCCAACUUGUCAAUGAGAAUGGCAUGUUUCCUAAGACAAUGGCUACACUUCCUAUCAGAGAAAGAAACAGUGGCUGAAUAGUGAAUCAGGUUGACCUCCCCUUCUCUGAAGCUGGACUGCAAUUGUGAAUUCAUGAUAGUAUGGUGCCCUAUACCUGAUACCCGAUCCUUAAUAUCAUUAGGUAUAAACCAUAUAUUAAUUGGCAAAGUGAAAUACUUAAACUUAAGCCUGCUGAUGAGUUUAAGAAAGCAAAAUCUAAUCAUAUAAACCAGAACUAAAUGGGAAGCAAAAUUGAGGAAAAGGCUAAAUCAAAAGCUUCAUUUAGUACAGAAAUCUUCCUCUACAUAGAUAUACUUGAUGAUCAAGAACACUCAAAACAAGCAAUAAAGCUUCAACUCAUCUCAUUACAACAAGAAAAAAAAAACUACUUUGUCCCUAAAAGGACCCAACAGUCUUAAAUGAAUCAUGGAGAUGCCUCAAAGUCUCUUCAUCCUUAUUCCACUCAGGAGUUGGUGCAUUAACAAAAUGAGCAUAUAACUUAUUCUUAGCACAAGUUACCUUAAUCAAGCUAUGUUUCCCAAUCCCAUCAAUUUCAUACACAUAAUACAAUUGCCCAUCUUCAUCUUUCUUCUCUUCACUCUUCACACUAUCUGCUCCAGAUAUCAAGUCUUGCAAAUCCACAUCAGACAAGGCCAAAUUGUUUAGUACCAUAUCUUUGGGAGCUAGCUGUCUGAAUCCAGCAAGAAAUGUCAAGUAUUCUUUUUCAGUCCUCUUCUUUGGAUUGUAGAACUCGCUAUCGGUUCCAUUUGUACCCUUUUCAACUUUGGAGACUAGGCGUUCUUUCCAUCCGUCAGGGACAUCGUAGAUGUACUCAGCUGACGCUUUCUUGUCAGAGUUCCCUCCAUAUCCACCGUAAUUGGCCGCGCUGGCUGCGGUGCCGUAAUAGAUGUGAUAGGUUUGUGCUGGGUCCGCGAGGGAAGGACCAGCGGUGGUUAAUAUUGUAGUGGCAGCAAUAGCGGCAGUUAGUGCUGUUGUUAAGAGGGGUUUGUGAGGUGGUAUAGGGAGGUGGGUUUUGGGUGGUGGCGGGAUCUGCGGUGGCUUUUGGGCGGUGGUGGAGGAGGAGAGGCGAGCUGAUGGAGAGAGAAUGGUGGCCAUGAGAUGGGAUUGGCUACUAAUGGAUAUUGUAUUUUAUUUUUCUUUUCUGUUUUAUAUGUUAUCUCCCGAUAUUUGAAGCUUAUGUUGUUCAGCCAAUCAAAUGCCGCCACCUAUCUGGCUAUAUCUCCUGAAAUAAAAAAUUAAAUAGAAAAUGGAAAAUAAUUACAAUUUUUAAUUCUUCAUUUAAAUAUAAAUAAAAUUUUAAUAAAUUUUAAAAAAAAUUAAUUCAAAGAACUUUAAUUUGAGGGAUCAAACUCAAAAAUAAAGAAUUAAAGCUUUAUUAACUUGCGGGAAAUAAUAUUUUUUAAAAUAUACUCUAUGUGAAAAAUAUUUUUUAAUAAAAUAACUUACUUUUUAUUAUUUAAUUUUAUUUAAAAAAUAAAAUAUAUUAAAAAAUUUAUAUAAAAAAUUAAAUUAAAUUUUUAAAAUGGGUAAAAUAAUUUAUCUUUUUCAAAGAGUUGACGUUUUUUUCAAUUAGCAAAAAAUAAUUUUUUUUUCAUUAAAUUUUUGAGUGUUUCGAAAAAUAUUAUUCAACUUAUUUAAAGAUUUAAUUUUAUUUAAUUUCACAAUCAAUAUAGUCAUUAUAAAUUAGUUUUUAAGUAAUAAUAAGUCAAAUAUUUGAUAAAGAAUUCACAUAAUAUUAAUAUUGAUAUUAUUUUAAUUAGAAUCAUUAUUAUAAACUCAGAAUAAAUUUAAAUAUUUUUUAUAUUAAAUAUUAAUAAUGAAGUUUAUGCAAAAUAAACUAAAAAAAACAAAUAACGCAAAAACUAACACCAAAUAAAUAUAUAAUUGCGUAAUAACUUUAACUUAUAAAAUCUCUUAUUAUAAAAAAAACUUAUAAAAUAUCAUAUUAAAAUAUCAUAUUAAAAUUCUAAAGUAAUAUUCAAAAAUAAAUUAACAAUUAUUUUUUUAGACAAUACAUUAAUAAAUUUAAUAAUUAUUAAUUUCUCAAAAAAUUAAAAAAGUUAAAAAUAUUUAAAGUGAAUCUUCUCAGCCACUCAAUUAAAUAUAAACAGAAAAACAAAAUUUAUAGCAUCCCUUUGCCCACCAACCGCCAAAAACUGGAAACCCUAGGCGAUGGAGGGCAGAAAAUUGAGAGAAAAGCUGAAGAGAUGAAACUUCCCUUGAUUAUUCUCUCCAUUAUUACGUAGUUUGCCUCUAAUCCCUCUCUGUCUUUCCUCUUCUAUUCUCUUCUUCCAGCAAUCCAAUUUCACAUACGUACCUUUUAAGUUUCAUAUCAAUGUCUAAGAGGUGAUAUUCCUUUCGUUUUAUGGUGUAUUUUUGUGUUUUGGUUGCAUUUCUUCGUGAGAUUUUAGUUUUUUUUAAGAUUUUUUGUUUGUUAUUUGAUCAUGACCAUAAUGAUUAUUGUGGCUUUUUGAGUCUUCCAUGAGAGAUGAUUGUGUAAUUAGGAGUUCAAUGGGUUGUAGGUAAAAUAGAAUAGAGUUUUUGAAUUUGUUGGUUGUUUGGUUUUGAAUGGGUAAAAUUUGUAUUUUUGGUUUUGAAAAUUGAAGUAGAUUUCCUUCUUCUUCUUUUUUUGUCGAGAAAAAGAAAAACAAUAUUACCUAAAUUGUCUUCUUUGUUUUAACAAGAAAAUUGGGGGUUCUUUUUUCUUCCUCUCUUUGCUUGCAAGUUCUUUUUCCUCUGUAUAUGCUUUUACUCGUAACAAAUUUUUAUUGAUGUGGAAUGUUAACUUCAAUAAAGGAAACUUCUUGAAUCUCACCAAGAAGAAAAUAAAGGAACUUAUUGUUCAUUGUUGAUAUUGGAGAUGCUUUGUGCAUUUAUGCAUGAAUUAAUUUGAGUUUAAUUUGAAGGGACGAGAAUUCUCCUUGUCAUUGGGGAAUGGAGGUGGGGUGGGGUGGGCUAGAGUGUAACGAUCCUCCAUUGAUGAAGGAUGAUUAUUAUCAUAUUAUGUGGGUCCUCUUGUUGUUUUUCUUCAUCUUUCUUUUUUUAAAUAAUUUUGUUUUGUUCCCUUUUUCCAGGGUACUUUGCAAGUUUUUUGCUCAUGGAGCAUGUUUAAAAGGGGAGCAUUGUGAGUUUUCACAUGACUGGAAAGAUCCUCCAAAUAAUGUAAAGAUAUUUACUUCAGCUUGUUUUAUUUUCAAUGAGGUGAUAGUUCUAGUUUUCUCAUUAUUUGUUUAUCUUGUUUAUUAACGCAGAUUUGUACCUACUAUCAAAAAGGAAUCUGCUCUUAUGGCAGUCGAUGCAGAUAUGAACAUGUUAAACUAUCUAAGUUGAAUUCUGCUUCUUCUUCAUCAACAGUUCCUCUCCAAUCUGCGGUAUCAAUUUCUGUUCCUCUUGCUCGUUCCGUGAGAACUGGAUUUGAUAGGGGAACAUCAGCCCCUGGUGCUACUGGAGAGCUUUCUGCUUCAAGUAGACCUUACUUUCCUCCCACUAAGCCAGCAUGGAAUUUGGAGUCAGUACCAAACAACAUUUUAGAAAAUGAUGACAUUAUAGAACCUAGGAAUGUUAAACCAGAAGAGCGUUCUCUCUGUUCAUUUGCUGCUGUUGGUAACUGCCCUCGUGGAGAUAAAUGUCCUCAUAUUCAUGGUGACAUUUGCCCCACUUGUGGGAAACAUAGCUUGCAUCCUUUCAGACCUGAAGAAAGAGAGGAACAUUUGAAAACAUGUGAGAAGAAACAAAAAUAUCUUGAAGCAUUAAAACACAGUCAAGAAAUAGAGUGCAGUGUAUGCCUAGAUCGUGUUCUUUCAAAGCCCACGGCAGCUGAACGAAAGUUUGGGUUGUUAUCAGAAUGUGAUCAUCCCUUCUGUAUAUCCUGUAUUAGAAACUGGCGUAGUAACUCCCCAACUUCUGGAAUGGAUGUCAAUACUGCAUUGAGGGCUUGCCCAAUAUGCCGUAAGCUGUCAUAUUUUGUUGUUCCAAGUGUCAUUUGGUAUUCCUCUAAAGAAGAAAAGCUGGAGAUCAUUGAUAGCUACAAGGCAAAACUAAGGUAAUCUUCUGAUUGUUGUGCAUGCUUGUGCAUCUUGGUCCGAAGUUUAUAUGUCUGAUUUUGGAAUCCUGUAGAAGUACUUUCCAAGAUAAGUGAGUUGAAAUUGAAAGCAUUUUAAGAAGUGUGUCCUUCAGCAUAUAUGUAUAUAUGUAUAUAAAGUAGUGGUUGCAUCAUAGUUCAGAGUUACAUGAUCUUCCUAAUUUCAUAUGGUUACUAGAAAUUUGAGCUGAGAUAUUAAUGGGCAAUCUUGUUAACUCUAAAAGCUGGGUAAUUUGCAUUAGUGUUGCGAUUUUUUUUAUUGUCCCUUUCAAUGACAUAAUCUGAUGUUUAUGCAUUUUCAUUUUUCAUUUUGUUGACAGCUCCAUAGAUUGUAAGCAUUUUGACUUUGGGAAUGGGAGCUGCCCAUUUGGGACAAGUUGUUUUUACAAGGUAAAAUAAUUUUCUUGUUUGAGUUCUGCAGUUGCAAUUUUGAUACUAUGAUGCACCCUUUUUUCUUUCUAUGAGAUCCUUAUGUGUAGAUAUUCCUGUAGCUUGGAUAUUCUGCAUAUAAUUGUUUGUGUGAUUGAAUGCUAACCAACUUCUUAAUGUUUUCUUAAACAUUACAUUUGCUUUCCUCCAUUUUUUUUUAUUUAUUUUUAUGUUUUCAUUUCAAGCAGUAACUUCUGUAUAUCUGCUACGCUGUCUAUGGUUGUCUGGAAUGCUGCCAGCCUGGACAAGCUUUAUCUUUUCUCCUUUGUUGCUAUACAUAUGCCUUUGAGAAGUGACUUAUUAAGUUAUCUAGAAAAUGUUCUGAAAUGAGAAACACAGAAAAGUGAGGUAUGUCAGUCUCUUCAGCAUAGCUGGAGCAUAGUUAUUAAAGGCUCGAAGUGCGGAAGGGUUUUGGGGCCCAGGUACAAGGCACAAGCGUGUGCCUGAGUGAAAGAAGUGCACCAAAUAAAAUCGAAUAAGUGGACAAUUUUAGCUAACCAAGAAGUAUAGGAUGAUAUUUCUUUUCUUUUGACAUUAGUGGCACAUAAUCCAGAAAUAUAUUACUUAAAUAGCAUGUUAAUAUCUUUUUUUGAAAUAAAAAUGAAGAAGCAAUUCACAAUGGUAUAAUUAAAUUACUCGUAUAUUAUAUAACAUUGUCAAUGAUAUUUAAAAAGGAUAAUCUCAAAUAAACUAGAAGUAAAGGAGUAAAGCAGUUAAGAUGAGAAAUAUAAUAAGAGAAUAUUGAAAACAACAUAUGAGCAGAGAGAUUAAAAGUGACCAAUCACCAUUCACUAGUGAUAUUAAGUCAGAGAACUUCUUAGUCAUCAAUAUUGGAUUUUGGUAGAUUGGCAAGUUUCAAAUGAAGAAACUUUUUUUUUGUCAAUGGAAGUACUUGCUGAAGGUGGAAAUGAUGGUGCACGUUCCUAGAGCUUGGCACCUGGAACAAGGUGCACACUUAGGCGCUUGAGUUGUUAAGGCGUUAAGGUUGGAUCCUGGUGAGCCUUCAACAUGAAGCGUGCCUGAGAAUCACCUUUAAUAACUACGAGCUGGAGUUAGGGAAAUAGGUUUAAUCUGGAUGUUAUAAUGGGUGGGUGUUCUGGCGGGCAUGAUUCAAGUUGAGCAUAUUCUUUUUUUAUUUUUCCAGAAAACUGGUUUUUGAAUCUGAAGAACAAAGAAAGUGUGAUGUGAAUUAUAAUGCAAAGGACCAGUGCCAUGCAAUUUUCACUAUAUAUAUAUAUAUUUUUUUUUUUUUUGGAGGAGGGCGAGGGAAAUAUAAAGCUUAUAGGGAACACAUAACCACUCUUCCCUCCUGUAUCUGAGCUUUUUUCUAUUUGUACCAUUCAACGCAACCGGCCUUGAUUGUGAUGCUUCCACCAGCAUCAUGCAACUUAUCUUUCACCAUGAUCUUUUACUGUAUUGUGAUACUUUGUUCUCUGUUUGAAAUGUUACUCUUCUACUAAAAUGUGCAAAAAAAGUUUACAUUUGCUUGGCUAUGGAGUUCUAGCGUCCUUUGCCGUCUAUUGAUUUUUCACUUUUUGCGACGUCCUUGAAGGUGCUUUUGAAUUUACUUCUGAUUACUUUAGCUUCUAUAUAUAGUCCUCAGAAUUAGGAACCUUUGUAUUCAUUUACUUCCAUUGUGGAGAGCAUUAGCAUUGCAUCACCAUACUGUCAAGCAAGGCUCAUACACAUGGAAAUAUCACAGACCCCUCCAUAGAGUCCACGUCCUUGCAGAACAAAUCUGGUGGAUGAUUAAUAUGAAUGCUUUUUUUUAAUGUUUUAAGCACUGAAUUGAAAAAAUGAAUUGGACACCUUUGAAGCUGAGGAUUUCUUUUAUGAGGAUUAUGCGGGUUUUUUUUAUUAGUGCUAUUGGAUCAGGCACAACUCCAGUGAUGAUGAAGAUUAUCUGUUCUAAGCUUUUAUAUUUAACCUUAUUGCAAACUUUUCAUUCAUCUGAGGGAAAUCUCAGAGUUGGUGUUUUGGCUUUUAUCCUCCUAUAUUUUAAGUAUUUUGGAAUAGCAGAAGCUUGUAGUUUGUUACUUAACAACAGGUAUUCAAAGUUGAUGUCCUGUCGUGAACUAAACUGUGGGAAAUCUAGGUUGCUUGACAGGAAGUUGUUCCAUAUAUUUUUAUGUUUGUAGCACUCUGGUGUGAGAGGUAGACUUCUUGGAAAUGUGUUGCUUGGUUGAUGUAUUGUCUUGAACUGAACUGAACGCUUGGACUUCGGAGCACAUGCUUCAGCUAUAUAAUAUUUAUGAAGAGUCUGAAAUUCUUAAAGUUCCCAUCAUUCUGCAUUUAUAAUUAUCUGUCUCAUAGUAUUUCCUGCCUUUUUAAAGUUUUUACUAAUACCUUUAGGUAGAUGUUUUCUGGAAACCUUUACUUGAGCUGUAGUUCUAAUACUGGGUAGCAAUUGUUGAAGAAAUGCAUCAUUUUUGUGUUGGAUUUCCUCCCAGCCUCUUUUUUCCCGUACUAUGUCUUUUCUUUCAGGAAGGAUGGAAGUUUAAUACAGUCGACGAUAGUUUCUUGGUUAGGAGUUGCUCUUUUUCUCUAUCUUCCUUCUUUUUGUUACUUUGGGGGAAGGCCUAAGUGGAAGCUGCUUUCAAUUAUAUUAGGAAAUACAAAAGUAGGUUUAUAUAAAGCAGAGGACAAAAAUAUGCUAGCAACUGUUGUGUUAUCACGUUGUUUGGCUGUCAUUGAUAGCACAUUAUAUUUCUUCCAAAAUGUAGGCCUAUGGUUGAUGUUGUUAUGCAAUGGCAUAUGUUUUCCUUUUUGAGUAAAUACUAUUAUUCUAAUUGGUUUAGAAUCUCCAGUCAAUUUUGCUUUAAAACAUUGACUGUUACAUAUUAUGGUAUUCUAACUUUGCAGCAUGCAUACCGAGAUGGCUGUUUGGAGGAAGUCGCGCUGCGUCAUCUUGGAGCUGAAGAUGGAAAUACUGUGAUUGCUAAAAAUAUAAGGUUUGAAGGAAGACUUAUAUUGACUUUAUGUUUCAUAACCUGUCACCCUUUUUAAAUUGCUUCCUUAUCAUGUUACAUUUUAUUCAAUAAAUUUACAAAAAAAUUGUACUUGCAGGCUUUCAGAUUUCCUUAGUAGCUUGCAAUUAAGUUGAAUCGGGCUGUUCACUCAUUCCUAUGUAAGUUUGACCUUAUGACUUUCUCUUUCUCUGAUACUGAUUUUAAGUGUGCAUGCAUAGACAGUCACACAUUUAACAUGCCUAGAAACGUUUAUGCAUCAUGCGUCAUUAACAAAAAAUAUUCAAGUUGCUUCAACCCUGUCUUCACAUAUGCAGGUAUCCAACAAUAUCAAGAUAUUUAUAUUUUCAGCUUGUAAAAGGUCUUCAAUUUCCUGUAUGGAACUCUAGUUGUUUGUGAGGUAAAAGGCCAUUGUCUUAUAAUUAUGCUAUUCUACUCUGCAGUUUACUUUCCUGUGGUGAUGUGGUCUUGCAUUGCAUGGAAUUUCCUAUGGACUUUAUGCAUCUUUUGAUGUGUGGGAUAUAGUUGGGUUGAUAGAUAAUCUGUGUUGCAGUAGUUCUGUAUAGUUUUGUGCACAUGAAAAUCAUUUUUAACCAAUGCAUAGAAGUGGACAAAAUUAAAAAUGGGGUUGAUAGAUGCACCCAUUGAGUUGCUCACAGUUUAAUUGGCAGUUUAGGCAUUAUUUUUUGGUCAUUUAACAUUUGCCUACUUGUGUCUAAUAGAGCCGAAUGACUAUAAAAAUUCAUAUACCCUCACAUUUGGAAUAAAAAAUUUCGCAAGAAUUCAAUUCAAUUCAAAUGAUUUCUUUUUCUAACAAUUCUCUCGUUUGGAAUUUAACUUGAAAAUUUUUUCAUUUUAAAUAAAGUUGAAAAUUUGUAUAAUUUUGCAAGAAUUCAUGUGUAUCUUUUGCUUGUGAAAUGAAUUUUAAAAGAAUGGAUAGUGAUUAGUCAUAAUGAGUCUCAUGUUCCUUCAUUGAAUUUAUACUGUAGCAUUGUUUACAAAACUGCAGGAUUGCUUGCUAGAGGAGACUUAAUUAUGGGAAGCUGGAAGGUGUGUAAUAAUUAUGUUAAAAUGAAAUAAUAGUGUGAAGAAAGCGUCAGCCUCAUGCAAAAGAAGUACAUUUAGUGAUAAGUUAUGAACUUGCCGAUGAAUAUGAAUUUGAAGAAUGGAUGAUGUUUGCUAUAAUACAGCUUUGCUUCCCUCACAGAGGAAAGGGCAGUGAACUAUGUUUAGCUAUUGGAUUUUUUUUUAGCCUUAUCAUCCUCAAUAUUAUGAGGUAUAAAAUAGGUGUCAUAAUUUCUGGAAACUUGAUUAUCAGGACAGGCAUCUCAUACUGAAUUAGUUCUUCCUCGGUAAAGCUGCAUUGUUUACAAGUGGCUUGUAUAAUGAUUUUGACAUUGAAGUAUAUAAAUGAGAUUUUUGUAGAAUUGUACUUCAAAUAAUCCUACACUUGAAACUUUGUGUUGAUAGUUACAAAUGGAUUUUUUUUUUUUUUUNNNNNNNNNNNNNNNNNNNNNNNNNNNNNNNNNNNNNNNNNNNNNNNNNNNNNNNNNNNNNNNNNNNNNNNNNNNNNNNNNNNNNNNNNNNNNNNNNNNNNNNNNNNNNNNNNNNNNNNNNNNNNNNNNNNNNNNNNNNNNNNNNNNNNNNNNNNNNNNNNNNNNNNNNNNNNNNNNNNNNNNNNNNNNNNNNNNNNNNNNNNNNNNNNNNNNNNNNNNNNNNNNNNNNNNNNNNNNNNNNNNNNNNNNNNNNNNNNNNNNNNNNNNNNNNNNNNNNNNNNNNNNNNNNNNNNNNNNNNNNNNNNNNNNNNNNNNNNNNNNNNNNNNNNNNNNNNNNNNNNNNNNNNNNNNNNNNNNNNNNNNNNNNNNNNUUUUAAUUUUCUUCUCUUGAUACCCAAAUUCAAACCGAAUAAAUUUUCACUUUGUUAUAAUCCAUUUUAAAAUGUUAACCACGUGCGUACGUGGAAAACGCUUAUCUAUGUACCACAUAUUUAUAUGUAUAUAAAAGCAAAUAGCAAAUUACGAAUAUGUAUUUAUAAAUGCACCGACUAUAUUAUAUGAUAUGAUAUUUUUAGAUUGAUUGGUAUAUUCUUUGGAGUGCACCAAAUGAGAGAGCAUGCCAAAGCAUUUGGCAAUUUCCUGGAAAUUUCUUCAUCUAAUUUGAUUGGCUGUUCUUUGUGGCUUAGGUUGGUUUAUGCAUGCUCUUCACCUACUCUCAUAACUCAUGCAUCAUCACCUCAUACUUCAAUCUAUUCAUAAUAAUAAUUAAGCACACAUUUCAAGUUUUUAUCUUGUACUCUAAUAAACACUGCAUCACCUCUUCUAUAAUCUAUACUUAUAAGAUCAUAUAAUAAAAUGAAAAUUUAUUUUUCAGUCCUUAUAUCUUGAGAAAAUUCAUAAAUCAGUCUUUCGAUUUUAAAAAAUAUAUUAAAACGUUUUUAAGAUUUUAAAAAAAUCUAUUCAUUCCAUUAGUUUUAUUUGUUAAGUGUUUUACCAUUUAGUUCAUAUAAUUUAUAAAAAAAAACUCAUUAGUUGAUCGCUUAUAUUUAUAAAAAAUCUACUAUUUAUUCUUUCGAUAUUAAAAAUGUCUUUAAACUUUUUUAUAAUAUUUAAUAAAGAGACUAAUUAGUAAAAUUUUUAAAACGUUAAAAAUAUUUUAAUGUAUUUUUUAAAAUUAAGAGAUUAACUAAUGAGUUUUGCUAUACUACAGGGAUCAAAUAGUAAUUUUUUGAACAGAAAGUAAGAAAAAUCUUCCUCUAGCUCCUUUAGCAGACAGGUAUAUAUUGCCUUUUCCUUGACAGUUGCUUUGCAUGAAUUACAAGAUCCAGUUUGAUGGGUUCCCAAUGAAGCAAGAGUAUGUCAACUUCUGAUUCUGUGUUAGGGAAAUAAUUAUUUGAUUUAUAAUUGUGAUUAAUCAUCAUGAUCUUUGUAAUAAUCUGUGUUAGUUUAGCAAUUUACUUUGGUUUCAUGUGUGCAUUUUUUCUGGUUUCAACCAAAUUCAUGUUCGUAGUUCUAUGUGUAUUUGGUCCAAGGUUGUUUAGAGUUGUGGUCUUGUUUUGUUGUGUUCUGUUUUCCUUCUCCUUCUUCCUUGGCCAAACCAUGGAUAAAUCCAAACUCUCCAUUUUCCCAUGAUCAAAAGAAGUCUCCAAGCUAGCAAGAGGCCAAGGGUGCGAGAUUUUCCAGGAAAAACAAAAUUCUCGUUCAGGGAAACAAGGUUGCUCAUUUGCAGAGGAGGAGAAUGGCAAAAAUGAGAAAUUUGUAUAUAUAUAUAUAAUGUAAAACUUGUUUCUUCUUUGUGUGUAUUAAUCACGCAGUGUUUCUACUGCAUGCAACUAAAUCUAUACUCAGAUCAAGCCUCCCGAUAAUGGCGACUGGAGAAUUCAAACAUCUAACCUUACAGACAAAGAUUUUCAUAAACUCACGAUCAUUCCAACUAAAUUAAUUUCGUUUAGACAUUAUUUGCAAUGUUUUUUUUAUAAGUAAAAGAAAAUUAAAUUUUAUUAAUAGAAUUUAAUUUAUUUCAUUUCUAUUCCUGAAAAAAAUUCAUUUAUUAUAUUGCAAAUGAUAAAAUCCAAUUGAAUUCUUUUAUUUAAAUGAAUUAAUAAUAAAUUUAAAUUGAUUUAUUUUCUUUAUUAUUAUUAUUUUUAAAUUAAACAUAAAUAUUUAUACUUAUAAAUAACAAUUAUUUUAUUACAUUAAAGUUUUUUUUAAAAUGAAUUAUUAAUAUUUUUAACAAUAUUUAGAAUUUAAACAUUACAUAAUUUUUUACUAUUACAAAAAUGUAAAUUAAGAUGGAUUUUUUUUUUCAAAAAUUAACAAAACAAUAUAAUGAUUUUAUUAUUAUCAAUCAUAAAUGCAUUACAUUUAAUACUCAAUACAAAUUCAAUUCAAUUCAAUUCUCUGAAAAAAAUAUAUAUAAUUAUUAAUUAAAAAUACAUAAGCAAAUUUACAGUUAAAAUAAAUAAAAAAAAGCAAAUGAUGAAGGAAAAUAAAAAAAAAAGUUUUCUCAAGAGAUUUAAGUAAUUUUAAGUAAAAUAAUUUCUUAUAAAAUCUGAAUAAUUUUAUAAGGUUUGUUUUUCUCAUAAUAAUUUAAAAAAUAAAAUCUUUACGUUAUUAAUUUUACUAAAUAUAGAAAUUUUUAAAAAAAUUCAAUUCAUUAAAAAACCUCUUAUUUGUUUUCUAUUAUUUUUAUAUGUACUAUAAACAACAAUUACAUAGACAAAAAUAGCAAUAAAUAAAUACAAGAAGGCCACACAAUUCCAACUCAGUACCUCAUCAAAAGCAAAAAUACAAAAGAACCCAAUAAAGAGUAAAAAGAUUUAAGCCCAUUUAAUGCUUGAGGAAAGCAACCAAACACAAUAACAAUGAAGAGCAAAUCAUAGCCCCAGAAAUGCCCACAGAAUAAGCAGCUCCUUUAUCCAUGGCUGGUGCUGGCGCUGGUGCAAAUUCUUGAGCAUCAACACUAGCAAACAACAUUGCCACAACCAAAAUGGCAGAAACCAAGGCCUUGAAUGAGCUCAUUUGUGCCAUGAAGACAGAAGGAUUUCUAAAAGGAUUUGAAAAUAUUUGUUAAAUAAGAGAUUUGAUGAAAUGGGUUGAGUUUUUGAAGAGUAUUUAUAGGGACCCAAAAAGAAAAAAAGAUGGAAACUUUGAACAGCUGUGGGCAUAUGCUGACAGGUGAGAACAGGUUGAAGCCAGGAAGUGAAAUGGAACUUUCAUCAUAUAGUUGGCAGGCACAUGGGUUUGUGACUUUGUGUUGUGUUGUGUUUUUUGAGCUUCUUCCAUGUUAAGGAUCUUUAACUUGUAGUGAAAGUUCUGAAAAGUGGGAAUUUAAAAAUCAAGCCUUUGGUGUUUUUCUUUGAAAAGUUCAAUCUUUAAUUAACAAUCUUAAAAAUCUAAUUAUUGGUCUUGAGUUCAAAUUUGGCAACC
Molecule: long non-coding RNA, 67552 nt
Filed under: Manihot esculenta (cassava)
Lineage: Eukaryota; Viridiplantae; Streptophyta; Magnoliopsida; Malpighiales; Euphorbiaceae
Description: long non-coding RNA (MESC_LNC006288)
Rfam family: tRNA (bases 28701-28773)
Source: RNAcentral